RNAcentral lists this long non-coding RNA (51176 nucleotides) under Musa acuminata (dwarf banana). RNAcentral describes it as "long non-coding RNA (MACU_LNC007775)". Lineage: Eukaryota; Viridiplantae; Streptophyta; Magnoliopsida; Zingiberales; Musaceae. The record is from RNAcentral.
CUGUUAUAUAGACUAUAAAAGGCUCUCUUACUUGACUAGCUCUCAAUCUUCCUAACUUCCCCUGCCAUUUGAGACUCCUCUAAUGCAAAUAGGAAGAAGGCGACUAGAUGCCCUUAGGUUUGAAACCUAACUUGCCUUUUACCUAAAAUCCAUAGUAUAAGAAGAGACAGCUCCCAAGCAAGACUGCAACAUCUACUGGUAUAGGGAGAUAAAGAGAUUCUUAUGGUCCGACGAGGCUCUUAGCACCUUUCUUAAGGCUCUUUCCGAGGCUCUUAGCACCUUUCUUAAGGAAGGCUCUUGGUGCUAUUUCACUAGUUAGAAUAUCCCUAGCGAUAGGGACUCGUAACGGUAAAUGGCUUAUUUGAAGGAAGACUCUUGCUAUUCAGCCAAAUAGUUCUCCGCCAGGCAUUUCUAGUCCUAGUCCUAGAGUAAGUAAGGUGCUGAAAGCCUUGACUUGUAAAGUGGGUAGCUAGAGUGAAAGCAAGGUCAGUAAAUCAGGCAUUCCACCGCGGAUCAAUCGUAUGAAAGCAAAGCAUCAGCUGGAGAUGCAUAAUAGGAAGGUGAGGAGCACGCUUCCCUUUUGUAAGAGAAUUCAUUGACUUUAUGCGUUUUACCUCUGGUUUCGCAUCUCUUUAGUGGUAGGCUGUGAGGAGUCAGCAGAAAGGAGAGCUGACCUACGGGUUUCCGUACCGGCUCAGUGAGUUUUGUUCGUACCGAACUAAAGGCUUCUUUACUGAAAAGUGCAGCGAGGUUAGUUCUUCCACGAUUGGUAGCACUCGUGUAAGGUCAAGGGUAUAAUCAUCCAUCUCCUAAGGGUUAAGAGAAACUAUGGCUAGGAUAGUGGGUAAGGAUCAUAUAGACUAAAAGGAGUGAGUCUUAUUCCAGUGCUUGAAGCCGAGCGCAUUGGAAGCAAAGGCAAAGGUCCCAUUCCUCUACUCUAGUUGAAGUACAAGUUCAUAAAACCCCGUAAUGAAGUCGUUUUUUUCGAGUUCAUGGAUAUCCUCACCUUAGUGGUUCUUUUUCCUCUUUAUUGUCAGUUUGUUUCCGCGGGCUAGGGACGAAGUGAGUCGACUGAAAAGAUAGGGAUUCAAUGAGUCUAUUCUUUGAAUCUUUCUCUUAUAGUGUAUAUAGUGAGUUUCGUUCUUACUCGUGUUUCAUCUCUGAAUUAGGCAAGGGAGUAAUGAAGGUCGUGAGGCGCAUUCUCUUUUGUUUAAUAUCUUACCUGCUGUUAUUCUAAUUGGCACUAAGGAUGUUACCGAAAGUUAGGGCCUUUCCCGCUAGGGCAGUGAAGUUCGUGCUAAAUGACCGAACGACUGGUCAUGAGUCUUCUCUUCUCCCACUGAGAACAGAGCAGCUGGGUGAAUUCUUCUCUGAUUCCGGAAAAUGGUGAUCCGUUUCUGGAAGUCCUUUGCUUUAGGCUUUCAGCACCUUUGUUGUCUUAAGUGAUCUAUUAGAGAGCUUCCCUGUUACCACCCGAAGGGUCAGAUAAGAAAGAGAUGCUCUGUGCCAAGUCUGGUAGGCUUUUGCAAAUAGAUUUCUGACGUAACUGCCUAUCAUGCCAUGACGCUGUUGCUCUCGCGCAGUGCCAUCUUCCUCGGUAUGUAUCAAUUUUUGUAAAGUGUUUUCGCUUUCGACUAAUUAUGUUAAGGCUCCCAAUCGAUGCGCCAAUCGUAGACAGGUGACCGGGGAAUGAAUGAUGGCUUCAGCUCCAUACACUAUAAUGAAUGGCGUGUUUCCUGUCGUUGUUUUUGAGGUUGUUUGUGUAUAUGCCCAACGGUGGGUAACCCAUGUAACCAAUCUUCACCGGCGCACUGAGUAAGCAUACUAAUUAAGACCAAGUUGGUGGAUUUGGCCUGUCCAUUCGCUCUAGGUAAUGUAAUAUGGGCUCGACUUCCUUUGAGCUAUGAGAAAUGAAUAGGGCCACCCAACGCCUUAUUCAGAUUUCUUUUGUUUCUUGACCGGCUACAAAGAUCGCUAUGGAGCCUACCUUAAAGCUUUACAAGGCCUAGCCACGUUAGUGUAAAAGGCCACCCAACCACUCGCGAAAAUCAUGGGGCAUUCCAAAUCAGACAGAAAUGACUUAUCCUAGCUCUGAGGUAACCGCUCGUCUUGAUGCUGGCAGUAAAGAAGGCAAAGAGUUGACUUCGACAAUUCGAUAAUGGUAAGGACCUUCAAAGCCUAUCCAGGAUUAAGCUACUGAUUGGUUAAAUAGUGAACAUUCGCUUGGGAAUACAAAAGAGAAUGCAGUCGAGACAACCAAAAGUAGAGGAACGACCGACACAGCUGGCAUGCCCCGCUCGUAACCGGCAUCUCCACAUGAACCGGACCAAGCAAGCCGGACGACGCUAUACUGGAAUAGUCAAGAAAAGUAGUCUAGCAAGAGAAUAGUCAAGAAAAGUAGUCGUAGCAAGCCGCAUUCCACACUGGAAAUACAGAAUCUAUGGAAUAAGGGUAACUAGUGGAUUGAUUGGCAGGUUUCGAAAGCCUUUCUCUCUUCUCUCGCUCUUUCUAUGAAAAGGCUUACGCCGCCUUGCCUUCUAUUCUCUUCUCCACCCUUAUUAGAGUACUUAGCCUUCGAUUCUACACCCUUAUUAUAGAAUUGGGUAUUCCUAUCAAAUUAGAGAAUUGGGUAUUAAUAGAUUCCAACAUAGAGAAGUUUUCGUUUCUUACAACCCUAUAUCAUGUGUUUUCGUUUCUUACAACCCUAUAUCAUUUGUUAAUAUAUAUAUAGGGCGACCCCUGACGGGAGAGGUCUUUUAGGAUAUUAUGGAGAGAGCGGAGGCUCUCCGGGUUUUCUUCUCGCUAAGGAGCUCUUUUCUUCCCCAUUCCGGCAUGAGCAAAGAAACUAUGGUUGACCAGCUCUUUUCUUCCCCAUUCCGGCAUGAGCAAAGAAACUAUGGUUGACCAGGUAAGUAGAUUUGACCCCUUCUCUUGACUAUAUUAAUUGAAUCACAGUAUCGUUGAAUGUGAUAUGACAGAUAUUAGAUGAAUUUGAUUAGCUUUACCUGGAGCAAUAAAGAAUGCUUGAAAAUAGGAUGCAAGCUUGAUCGGGUAAUCCCGAGUGAUGCAGCGAUUUCCUGACGCAUCAGUGACGUAGGCCUUUGAAAACCAUUAUACGGCCAUUCUCUCCAUGCUAUCUUACAAUAGGUUUGUUUCUGCCAUUUCACUUAUUACACGUGUAGAUGAAAUACCUCACAUUCGAAGCUAUUGUCCAGAAUGCUUGGAAUACUACAGUCAAAGGCAUUAACAUCCUUGUUGUCGCUAGAAAAAGAGCUACAAGCCGUGAAAGAAAGAAGCACUACUGCUUUUGGAACAGAGAGACUGACAGUAAUGUGAUAUCCAAAGAGAUGUUAACUCUAUACGCUUUGAAGUUGGAAAACUAUCCACAGCAAUAAGAUUUGCCUUCUAAUCCUUUGAAAUGGGGUGCUUGCUGACAGGGAGAAAUAGCUUAGCGAAAGGAGCAAACUACCUACUGCAUCAAAGAAAAAAGAAGAAAGUGCAAAACUACAGAUCUUUGAAAAACAGCUUAGCGAUUUCUUGACGUUUUGAUGCUUGCUGGUUUAUGCAUCGUAAGCUUAGCCCUAGCCCUAUUGUUCAGAUGCUAGGAAGACUGGAAUGAAAAGUGACCCCGCUUAUUAAAGAAAGGGAAAAAGGCGAUACCAUAGGAACCGUGCUUGGCCAGGCCGUCCCACUGACGAUAGGCAUUCGGAUUCCAUAUUUCGGGCUCUUUCUUUAUUAAAGCUAGGAUCGAAGUUGCUUGGAGAGUCGAGUUAAGGGGUAAGGAAGGAUAGCAUACAAGUGAAGUGGGGGAACAAGCUUAGAACAAGCAAAUCCGCUCUCUUAUGUCUUAAUUCGUUAUUAAAGUGUUAGGUUAGUGUUUCGUUUCGGGGGUGCGGGGUGCGACUACGAUAGAUAUUCGUUUUUGAAGCUGGGGAAGAUCCCAAUAAAGAUCUGUAACUUGACUUGAAACAAAUCAUUCUUAAACAGAAACAGACGCCGAGUAAACUGGAACCGAACCGCUUGCUGCUGCUUAUUUUCGUACUCCACUUUAUGAACCUCUCUGUCAAUGACCUAUUUCGUCGGCAACACAAGAACUCCCGCUUUACCACUUUGACUUUGAGCGUGGGACCUCAAUAGUCGCUUGCUAAGUUGAAGCCAUGUUCCACUUUCUAAUGUAGGUUCUAUCACUGACUGCCCGGUCCACUCCUACACUUAAAGCCUCGGCGACAGAUACUAGUCCCAUUUUCGAGAGUUCACCUUUUGCUCUAACACUUAUACUUAUGGAAUUCAAGCAGUUUCAGCGAGCUUGUUAAUAUGUUGUUUAGGCAGCGCUACUUAUAGAGACUAGGGAUUGGAUUGGGGUCCGUUUUCCUCACAAGAUUGGAUAGAAAUGAUGCUAAGUAAGCUGCGCAGAAAAGCAACCCGUUUAAGUCUUGUUAGCUAUAGUUGGUUUCCUAUAGAGUGGGUUCGGUCUAAGAAACAGGGCAAUAAGCCGGAUAGGCAGUCAAGUCUGAUUUAGAUGUAGGAGCCCCAAGCCUUAAAUACAGUAGAAGCAUACUUAAAUAGAAGCAUACUUAAAUACAGUAGAAGCAUACUGAGGUAGGAGCAGUGCCGGGCUAAGAAGCUGUAAAGCAAGCCUCAAAGCCGUGGGGAACUCAUAUUUAUAGACAGGAGGGAACGGCUUAGAUACAAGGAUAUCUGAGUGGUGCGAAAGGAAUGGAAAGCAAUGCUAAGGUACGGAAUAGAAUGGAAAGCAAUGCUAAGGUAAGGGGAAGUUCAGUGAAGUUCAGAGCAGGAGGUCCGUCCAUGUUCUAUGUUCUACGGCGUCAAUGCGUUAUCAGGACAGUUGGAUAGUUUAGAUAGUUGAUUCCACAAAAGCAGAGUUUCCCCGCGAUGCAAAAAGAAAAAGGCAUACUAAGGGUCUAUGUUAAAGGAGUUAGUUCCAUUAUGGGCGUCUACAAUAGAGGUUUCGAUUGGAAGUGAAGAGCAGCAUGCGCCCCGUCCUGAGUAGCGGGUGAUAAAGCAGUUUCAAGAUAAUAAGCAUAAUCUUAAGUGAAGUUUAUCGGAAAGGACUCGAAAAAGGAAUCACCUAAAUGUCCUGCUAGUGGGUUUGAUUCUAGUAUCGGUGUGCUACUUUCUAUUUCUAUUUCGGUUGCACAAGUACCACACAAUCAUCAUCUCUACCUGACGCCACUAAUGCAUUUGUUUCUUGGGUCGAGUCUGAAGUCAAAGAUUCAUUUAAAACUCUUGGCGCCCUGUCAACUUAAACAAGGGAAGGGGGAUUAAAGAAAAGAAGCUGCUCUAGGCCCAACAGAAGCAGGAUACAGAUAUUAGAAGCAGAAAUCGAUUCAAAGUACGGGAAAGGCAGCGGAAUGCCCAGAUUCAGCAGUUCGCUUAAGGGCAGCUUAAGGUCAAGUAAGGAAAGAUAGUUUACAGUGACUGUUUGCAAGAUAGAAAUUCCUAUCUGAUAUGCGCAACGGAGAGAUAUGAUGUAGUUUGACUUUAUAAGCUACUAGAAACUAUAAGAGGAGCUGAACAGAGGUUUGUAGCCGAUAAAGAUUCCGUGAAAGCCUACCUUAGAGAAUUUCCUUCUUCAGCCAACACCAACCCUUACUUCUUCCGCUUCAGCGCUAAGAUCUUUUCCAGCAAUCGAAUCUUAUGCUUGCUUCAUUGUUAGAAAGCACAGUAGAUUCCAUUAGAUAGCCUCACACAGGUCCCAACAAGAACAAACAAGUGCCUAAGGCGUCAGUUCAAUUAACAGUUUUCCUUUAGCAUCGAGAGAUAGAAAGGACACACAUGGUGUGCGACCCAUCCAAGCAAUAUCCCCCGAAUAGGAAGAAUUCGUCGUUCGCUGUGGAUGCUCAAGGAUCUAAGUUGAGUUGAUGAUUGAAGAAGGAUGAAAAGGCUCUUAUUUCUCUCUCUCCUUUCGCGAGCUACAAUCAGGCACUCCACCCCCCCUUAGGUCAGCCAAGCCCAGCUAGAAGGAUUUGAAGCUUUGAGCACGCGCCACACCAACGUAUAGGGACAGUGCUUCCCGAAACCGACUCUUCAAUACUGAAAAAGGUAUCUCCACCCCGUUCUCUGGUAGCUGGCAGGUAUCUCCACCCCGUUCUCUGGUAGCUGGCAGUUUCUCUUUUAUAGGGUAUAGUCAAUGGCGUUAACACAUUAUUUUAUGGGGGCAUAGUUCAUUAACACCUUCUUAGUAUAGGGUAUAGUCAAUGGCGUUAACACAUUCUUUGAAAACCUACAAAGGUCAAGUGAGGCAUAAAAGGCGCACUCAGAAAAACUCUAAGUAAACCACCCUUUUUGUUCGCCGAAAACAAUACUUUUGUGGAGUAAAGGCCUGAGGUUAGGGGAAAUGCAUUUAGGAUUAUUCAUUUGACUUGAUUUUGAUGGAAUCCUAUUUCUUCCUGCAAAAGCGACUUACCCCGGAACUAAAAAGCAGCGGAGUCGUUCAAAGCCACCUUGAAAGUGAAAGAAAGAGUGAAUCUCGCUUUCAAUGACUCGAAGGCAGCCCCAGUGAAAACCACUACGGUUAGGCAUACGCCCCAGUGUUCGCGGUCUUGCUCUGAGGUAAGAAAUGCUACAACUCCAAAUUCUAUGCACUAUUCUCUGACUUCGAACAAACCCCUUAUUUGCUAAAUCAAUAAAUCAAUGGGGCUAAAUAUGAUCUCAGGCCAGGAGAGCUCCACGGUUAUCUUGGGCGAGAGAAGAUGGCUCACACCUUUGCUGAAGACCUAGUGGGCCCUUCCCCUUCUUUUAGGAGAGUUGAAAAGCAAGCAAAGCAAAGUACCUGCGAUUAAGGAGUAUUUUAGUUGAAACCUCCAUAUCCUUGGUUGUAACUAGAGACUUUUGAAAGAGAAAGUUUGAAAAACAGGAAGAAGGAGUUAAAGUCCCUAUUCGACCCCGACCCGAGAACGUAGUCAGUGCCAAGUGUAUGGUUCUGUCUACCCGACUCAAGCUUAGUGCCCUCUGUGCAAAAGCACUUUCCCAUUAAAUAAACUGUAACUAAUAUGUCUUUAGCCUCUGUCGUGUCGGUAACUUCUUAAUGAACGGGGCUCUAAACUCAAUAACUUGCUAUCGCACGACGGAACAAGCCAUAAGAAUAGAGUAUAUCUACACGACGGAACAAGCCAUAAGAAAGAGAGUAUAUCUAAUAGGGGUGGGCAAUAUUGCUUUAUUCUAUUAUAAGUGUGUUGGUGCACUUAAUUCUAAUUCAAUGGUGAAGUUUAUAAUUUAUAGAAGAUAUUUGCUGCCUUAUAUGAUUUUCUUAAAGAAAGCAGUAAGGAGUGAGUUCAAAAGUCCACUACCCUAGCAUCACAAGCAAGAAAGUAAGGAGCACUACCAUCAAGAGCCGAGUUUCAUUCUGACUUUCCGACUUGCUGGCAGUGGUUUAUAAGUCUGUAACUCUCCGGUUUGAUUCUUAGUAGCUGUUGUCUCGGUCUGUAACUCCCUAGCUUCAGCUUCAGUCAGAGCGGACACCGUAUCAGGCUUGUUGUUACUGCUUUCAGGCUUAGCUUCGUUAGCUCCGUUCUGUUACUCACUACUGGCUGCCUAGCUCACCUCUCGCAACAAAGACAGAUGAAGCAGUACUACUCGUAUAUACCUCCGGCAACUAUGCCUCUGAUCUUGCUCCACUGAUCUAACAGGCUUACCAUUCCCACAUAUAUUCUAUCGGCACCCAAAUAUAUUAUAUAAUAUUCGAAUUCUAUUAUAUCAUCUCUGUAUUGUUCCAGCCCUGUGUGAACCUGUCUUUGAAUCCUGAGUGAACCUGUGGGAGUAGCCUCUGCCUCUGCUGCCUCUGCUCCUGAUACAGGAAAUGAUUUGAAUUGAGUCUACCGAACACCAGCUUUUCUACGACCAUUCUUUAGUUCGAUACACGACCAUUCUUUAGUUAGCUCGAUACACGACCAUUCUUUAGUUCGCCUGUCCGGGGUAGAGCAACUGUCUUAUGCUUUAAGAUCUUAGUCCUGUGUUCGGCACUCCAUUAUGAACUUACAUUUGAAGCCCUUAUAUUAAGUCGGAGUUCAAGGCUUACUUUAGUUGUGAAAGAUUCAAUUCCAUUAAUAAUUAUGGCAAGAGGGAGGCUCGGACUAUUUGAAAUUACAUCUAUCUGAAAUCUAUCUUAUAAUAAUCAUUGAACUACUGAGACUUUAGACCCGCUCCCUUAUUCUUAUAGUAGAAAUCCGGGUUCUUUGUCUCGCCUAACAAACCUAGUGCUCUUGAUCAACCAUCUAGUAUUCUUGUUGGAUGAAGAUCCUUCUUCCCUUGCCAUAGGUGUAAGGUUUGACAAUUCUGUCUUUGAUAAGUGUUUCAAUUCACAAACUCGAACAGCUUCUAAGUACAACUUUCCUAGACUUCACUCGCAUCCAAAAGAGACUCUAGCCAGGCCCAGUACCAGCUGUAGAGUUUAAUCCCCACUUCAGUACUAUAAGGAAGGUCAAGUUACUCACUUCAAUAUUGUGCCAGAGGGAUUCCAUUCAGAAUUCUUGCCAGAGGUAGCUACCAAGACUUGUACCUUGACCACUACUUGUUGGAGCUGGAACAACACUUUCAACAAAUCAUUCAAAAACUCUCCCUGACCCUUAAACGGAACCUUCACUGUCAACAACCAAGCAACCUGGGAAAUCCUUAAACGCAAAGAGCGGUCACUAAACUUAUUGUCCAACAAACAACCACUAGUACAGGAGUCCGGAGCAGAGUAUGGGUUCAGAAGAGCUUAACUAUGUCCUAUUGACUGGCAAGAAGAGAAGAGAGCCUCAUUCAGGUAUCAAAUAAAUAGGGAAAUCCUGAAAUAUGAAAUGGAAGAAUUGAGCACCUAUUGGCUGGGUUGGUGAAGAGAGCACUAAACAAGCGUCUGGCGAGUUGACUCGGAUUAAGACUACGUGGAGAGAGAGGAGAGGAGAAGAUGGUGCUGCAAAAGAAUUGGAAUCUAGAGCGCCUUACAGUUUGUUAUCUAAUGUACUUAGUGGAAUCCAUCUCCUUACUCUUUCUCAUAUAAUUGACUUUGUAUAUAAUGUAUUUAGGUAUUUAGUAACAGAAUUGCUUACUCACUUACACUUAUUGAAUCUAGCUAUCCAAUCCACAUAUAGAUUUAGGGUAAAUGACUCUGAGAUAGGGUAAAUGACUCUCUAAGACAACCUCUGAUCGCAUCACCCUUCCUUGAACUUUGCUUUACCUUUGCCUGAUUUACUGCUUUCCAGAGAGAGUAGUGGUCAAAGUCGCUUUAUGUGGUAUGGUGCCGAACAAGCAGACAAGUUAACCGCUUGUUAGUUAGUUCUUUCUAACCCCGCCCCGAGAAAAAGGCUUUCAGCACCUUGCUUCUUCCUACGCGAGUUGCAUUGCUUCCUAACCUAAACUCCUUUUCAUUCUUGCCUCAAGCUUUCAAGUAUUAUUGAUUGCUCUUGCUUUCAUAAUCUUAUUAGUUGACACAUCACAUUCUGGAAAUUCUUAACAACCACUCCCUUACUCUAUGCUUUCCCUAAUGAACACGAACUCCCUAUUUCAUAUUGAUUUAUAGAAUGCUUAUUGCUUCCCUUAAUAACAUACAACUAUAUUGAUUUGAUUCGUAGAGUAUAUAUUUACUUGAUUCUACGAGUCUCUUUGAUUGCUUGGUGACAUUGCUUGUUCCCUCGUGCUCGUGCUCCUGCCUUUCUGAAUUAGGUACUUGCACCCUCCACUUCCCUUGAAGACCAGACCCGAACUAGACCUAUCAGUGAAGAAUGUCAUUGCCUACGAUCUUGCCUCUGAUCGAGUAGACCUAACUCACCCUACUGAUGCUGAUUCUCUAUACGACCUAACUCACCCAGCUUUGCUUCUUUAGAAGAUGAAAUGAAACAAGUAAGUUGAGUAGCCCGGUGGUCCUGUUCUUGUUCCUACUCCGGAUAUAGCUUAUGCCUCUUCUCCAGAUCUCUGGUAAGCCCACUCCUCUAAGUAUAUAGUAAUAGUCAGAGUAAUGAGCAGAUCUGUACUCUUUCAGCUCACUUCAAAUUCAUGAGUUGACUCGGCAUCAGGAAAAGGUUGACUCUAAGCUAACAGAAAGGGUGCUCAGUUACAUUCCUACAGGAUAUGGGAUUGGUAUAGAUUCCAUUCACGGUUUACUCGGCGGCGCGGAAGGGCUGCUAAGUCAUAUAGCUAACUAGUUAACUUCUUUUAAGAUAGGUUUCAAGCGAGGGAUAGAAGAUUUGAUACAAGCAGAGGCAGACCCAACCAAGUUCCCCAGGAAUUAGACUCAGUAGCGCAAGAACAAAUCCUGCAAUAAAGAGUAAAUGAGCAGCCCGGACCCAAGACGGAAAUUGUUUACAUAGAGGGAAGAGCUGAACCUAGGAGUCAAAGGUUAGAUAAAUAACUAAAGUAUGGAGUUUCGGAAUCAAAGAUAGGAUAGUCAGAAUGAUAGUAAGGAAAGACAGCUUUGUAGUUAAAUAAACACUUAAGGGCAAGAGAGCUGGGUUUAGAUAAAGGAAUGUUGGACUAAGUGAAAGGAACCACAAGAUGAGAGAGCGUAGAGGGACAAGUACUAAUACCAGAAUGAAAGAUAGGAUAGGGAAUAGAUAAGUUAUUAUAAGAGAAUAGAUAAGUGAGUUACAAAACCAACUCCAAUAUAUGGUUAAGAAAUUGUACUCUAUUAUUAAAGUCAAUACAAGAAUAUAGAAUACAGAUAUGAUCUAGGGCAUACUAAGCAUAGGUACGCUUCAGAGCAUCUACUAAGGUACGAUUCGGAGCAUCUACUAAUAGGAAAAGAGUCAACCAAGCCUUGCUUUUACAACUCAACAUGACAUUCUUUAACGACUCUACUGCUUAUAGGACAACAACUAGUGCUGACAGGGCUUUAACCAAUACUGAUAAAAAGCAACCCCGGAACCCAGCCUGCCUUACUGCACAAGGGACCUAAAUAGAAGUCUGUCUAUCCCGACCUCAAUUCCAACUCUCUUAACUUGAAGUAAGUAUGCCACUCCUUUAGCUAAGCCCUACUUUAUAGCUUCCGAGCUUGACUUCUCGACCACCAAAUACAGUAUUUGAAACCAAAAAAACUCCCCAAUAAAGUAAGUCCACCCGUCCUGGAUCUUAUUCUUUAGUAGUAGUCCGAAACCCCUUGCUUAAGGAAUCCAUCUACUAGUGGAAAGGUUGAUAUCGCUACUAAACGUAAUGAAACACUCUCUAAUCAGAGAAUCCAUCUAUUACGAGAAAGGAUCGAAUCAAACCAAUAGUAGGAUGCCAAGAGACAUAAUCCGAAUUUCCCUACACAUAAUGGGAAUGCAACAAGGGUAUACGAGAAUAGAACCCCGGCAACCAAGGCAGCAACAAGGAGCAAAGAGUUAGGUUACGAUAUAGCGUAUACACAACAAUAGAAUAAGAGUAUAGGUCGCGGCAGCACCAGAUUUGCACUACUUCUUAUGAUAAUCGGAUAGGUACAUAAGAGAAUAGAACACUAACCUGAUAGAUCAAACAGCAACAGGUAAUCAAAAGAAUUAGUAUUUGGAAUAAGAAUAAGAGUGAGAAUAUGAUCUAGUGCACUAAAAGACUUCACCUGGACUUACUGAAUUGAACUCGACAAGCUACUACUGACUCGAAAGCUUCCCCUCCUAACUAACAAACUAUACCAACCCUUUCUUUACCGUCUUUUAUUCUUUGACUAAUAAGAUGGGCCUGCCGCUACGGAACUCCACUCUUAUGUUAAACACCUUCCCUUGCUCCCAAACAGUAAUUGCUACUAAAAAGGCUUGAGCUACUUAUAGACCAGCACUCUUACCGGUCAUACUUUCAUGCUUACUUGCUAGCUUUAGUAUUGUACUAUACCUUCUUAAACCCUUGAACUACCUAUAGGAAUUCUGUAUUAUGAGUUUAGGUCCGCUGCUACUGCCAGCAGCUUUGCAGCCUUUGUCUUGUUGUAUCUUAGCCGGCCCUUCUCUUCUAUAGGCCUGGCACUAAUGCCUUUAACCUAGUAUAGUAGUAAUAGUAAUAAUCCAGGACAGAAGUAGGAACUAAACCCAGCAGCCCUCGUGUUCGCUUCAAACUUAUUAUCCUGGCUUUCCGUCCAUAUACCCUAUAUAGAAGUAUGCUACCACUGAAAUGAAGUCAACUACAACUGAUCUCAUAUUGCCAUUAAGUCAACCACUAAUAGGACAGGAUCAAACUCAAUACCAGGAUCCCGGACAUAACUCCAAGGCCUUGAGGCAGAAAGAAAGACUUGUGGAUCUACUUGGCACUUACUACUAGGCUUACUACCUUGACUUUGAGUCUUUACUCCGGGUACGAUCUAGCGCACAUAGGUAUGACACUUUUAGUUGUAAUAGAGAAUAUAAGUGGUGGGGUGCCGUCUUUUCCCUAAUGCCGACAAUAACCUCCGCAUUAACAGACUUGGAGUAGUUGUUAUCAGAUUCGAGCUAGUGAUAAACAGAAGGUACAAUGGAACGCAUCUAACUAUUAUUAGAAUUGGACUAGUGCUGACAAGACUUACUACUUUGUUAAAUGACUCGGAAUUGAACCAAUAAGAAGAGAACCGCCGCUAACAAGGAUGCCCUUACCUGCUUGGAAGCCUUCAGCGUAGCGAUCAAAUUAUUCAACUGAGAACUACCAGAAUCCACUAAUACCCAACUACUCUAGAGCAACCCUGCACAUAUUAGAAAAAAAGCAACUACUUUAUAGGACUUGGUCCACUAGCUCGGAACCCAACUGCUACUUCUUGGACUGAAACCACUUACUUAUGAGAAGACAACCAACGUAGUCCUUCAACUAAUGCCUUAGAGCCUUGCUUUCUUGUUUAUCAAACUGACCUCUGAGCUGCUGUUCUCCAAGCAGGACUCGUGACUUAGCGUAACUCUUAUAGGUCCCUUGCCUUAAGGUUUCAAUCACUCCCUAAAGUGGUUAGCCCGACACUCAUUUAGCUCAGUAUGACACUACUGCCCUAUUCUCUGUAGUUAGAUUGAGUCCGCUACUCGUAAGCUUCUCAUCCACCGAGCAACUGACAAGUAAAAGUAAGGAUAUCGGGCUGAGCAUACUAGUACAUAAGAUAAGAAUCAAGAAGAAAGCGUCAACAAAAACUCUUUCACUCGGGCUACCUUUUGCAAGUUGCCACCCGUUUGUUCAAUACUCGGUAAGUCGCUAAAUCUGUCGAGAAGAACCAUCCCCACCGGAUCGGACAUGGUUUGUUUUCUAGUCUUAAGAGCUUUGGAGGGAAAGACGGCUGCUCUGUUAACAACUCGCUGGUCCGCUGGUCCUGCUGCUGUCUGAACUGCCACCUCCGCUUGGGUCAGUAACACAAGGCUCCAAAAUGGAACCACAAAAGAUUCGAUUGAAUGUAAGUUCUCAGUUACUAGAAAACCGUAUUAUUCUGAUUCUUAUAAUGGGGCUCGGGUGGUUUAGUUUCAUUAAAGAAAGUCAUUCGUACCAUACUCUUUCAAUCAAAUACCGCUGGUAGGAUCUUGGUAAGUAUUAAUAUUCUAAUUGUAGAAGAAGAAUGCACAUCCGUCCUUUUCGACUCCCUUAUAUGUAUUCAUUCUUUUUUAUGAAAUUGCGUAAACAGAUAGAUAGAAAGGAUUCGUCUUGCUUCUGAACAGGAUAGAAAAAUGGAUCUAAAUAGGCAAAAGAUCUUAAGGGAAAGUAUUUCGAAAGAGAGAAAUGGAAUAGAAGUGCUGUGCUCUUUUCCUUAAUACUAGCAGUAUUCUCCCAUUAAUAGUAGCCCAUGCUUGGAAGUUGACGUACAGUACAGCAUGAAACGAAAACAAACGGACUAUUUCUCAAUAUGGAGAAGUCUGUUUAUUGUUAUUGGGAUUGCUCUUUCAGCUCUAUGUUCAAUAGGUGCGACUUCCCGUGAUUCCUUGCCACUCCUUGUUGGUUUCUAUCCCAUUUCUCAAUAGGGGCCCGAAAAGUGUAGUAAUAGGGAUCCCAGCAACACAGAAUCAUCUUAUACCUAAAAACUCGACUAAGACUUUCUAAAUAAGGUGCAUGAGGCACUUCAAUAGACGUUGCUGAUCUCGGCUGCAGCUUUCCCUACAAAGCAACCUCCAUUAUUCCCCCGACCUAUGGUCGCCAAUCUACCCCGGUAUCUAAAUGCACAUUUACUUCCUAAGACCUUUGACUUUGUCGUUAUUUAGUUAUGAAUUCAUGAGUUUACGACUUCACCAUCCGUAGUAUAGUAGGAAGGUUUCAUUUGGAAUGUUUCAAUCUAUUUUCUUUAACAAUAAACAAAUCCUUAUAGAAGAAUUGACCGGCCUAAGGGUUGUUGCAGGAUGAGCCUUUGCCUCCGGAGAGAAUGAAAUACCAGUGGAAAAGUUGGAAAAAUCACCCCUCCUUGCUUUUUGUAUUCUUAUCAUAAUCCUUAACCACAAUCAAAGCCAACACUCUUAUCUCGAUGGUUUAUCAAACCACUUUCUUUAGCUUCAAUGACUUACCACUGUCCCCGCAAGCAAAUAGCAUACCACGUGUAAAUACUUUAAUGGAAGCGCAUAUAGGCAAUAAUUGUAUAAUCAGGUGUAUCCAACCUACUGGAGGACCAAGGCGAAACAACAUAUCUAAAUCUCUCGGAUCUUAAGCUAAUAGGCUGUUGUUGGACUCGGUUAACCUUUACUUAAUAUAACUAACACAAGGAAUGGCUCGACUUUGACUCUGACUAUGAAGAUAGAUAAAACAUCCGCCCUUGUACCAUAGGCUACCAUAUAAUACUUCUUUUUUCAGAGGGAUUUCUCUUCUCUUUCAUUUCUGUUUUGAGCGGGUGGUCGGUCUAAUAAAGCAUAUAGAUUAGAAUCACAGCGUUGGCGGGUCUUACGAAGUGUUUUUGAUUUCCCGUAAAAAGAAGCUUAUUCAAACUGUUUGGUAAGAUCCUAAAGACAGGGAUGAUACAGUAGCUUUUUACUGUUUCUAGUUCAAGUGCUAUAAGCCAGCCCAGGAGGCAUAACGAUUACUCAAGUAAGCGAAAGAAAUGAUUCCUUAUCGUUGUUGAGAGAAAUUAGCAAUUUCCACAGAAAGCUUUUCUUGUUAUAGAGAUGUUCUUCUCUACUAAAACCCUUUUUGCCUUAUUUUUUCUUAUGGGGAGGAUGUGUUUAGGACGUAGUUUAGGACGUCGGCACCAAAGACACCCUUUGCUUUGUGCGGUGGUCUCAUUCAAGAGUAUAUGGUAGGGUUCACUUCCCAUACCAAGAGUUCGGUGAGAGACAGCAGCCAACUCCUUCUGCUCAGUAAGUGUAUUUGCCUCAUUUGCUAUGGUUCAUGAAGUCCUCUAUGAAAGCGUUAUUAAUAAGAAUCCAUCUGCUCUACACAAAUUCCCAUCGUCAGCUGCUUUUUCUUUCUCUUUAUCAUAGGCUAAACUGACUUAGAGCAGCAAAGAGAAGUUCUAAAUCAGACAAAGGGCAUUAUCUCUUUCUAAACCCAAGGAAAGCCUAAAACGACUGUAACGUCCUUCUUCAUGUGUGCACGUGGAUAUCCCCACUCUUGCUUUCUCUUACUACUGUGCCGUGCCAUUUGAUCUCGGGAUGGCCUAAAUCUAUUGCUUUUUCCUGUUUGUAAUACCUCCUGUUCCUCUCAGAUUAGUUCAAAUGGCCUCUGCAUCAAUAGGGAAGUGCUCACCAUGCUAAGCCCGUUUACGCUGCAAACAAAUUGAACUGAUUACUAGCCGCAUCCUAUCUUCAUGCUUUUUACACUGAUUAUCAAACACGAAAAGGAGAUUAUUGUGGGGAUUCUCGAACAGUAAGAGCUAAGACUGAUGCAUCUAUACUAUUGAGAGAAAGAGAAGAUUGGACUUGCUUAACCUAAUUCUGAUUCCUAUGGUUUAGUUACCCGUUACUGGCUCCCAUUCUUUGAUAACGAAAGCUAGGGUAGCGAACCAGGUAAACAUACUUCUUAUUGAAAUUAGGGACUUCAAUUCCACUAUGAGCCUGCCGCUAUCAACUCUAAAACAAACCACGCUAGCAGCCUUACUUUGCUGAUGAAGUAUGUCCUUCCUUAUUUGGAUUCUGGAUUUCAUCACUAGUGAGUUUGCCUUUACUUGCUCUUAUUCUCCCGCUCCCGUCUCUGACUCUUAUAGUUGUCCCACCAAGCUAUUAUGAAACCUCAAACUACCCUACGAGUAAACCUAAAACGGCUUCUAGCCCGUCCCUCUACUCUAGUAAGUAGACUAUUCUGGUACACAAACAAACCUUAUCAAAAGGUAACGCUUAUCAAAUCUAAAAGUAGUCUGCAAGAAUAGUAUGAUAGAAUGCCCCGAUCGGGGCGUAAUCGGGGACUUUGACGGAAGCAUCGCCUGAUUCAAAAGGGCUGUUUUUUCCACCUAAGUCCUUUUACCCUGGGCUCUAUGGUAUGGCAUUAACCCUAGGCUCUAUGGUAUGGCAUUAGUAUAAUAGUAUAGUCUCAAUUCUCUCUGGAUUGCGCUGCCGUAGUUUAGUUGGUACGACCUACUUGACUUCUGGGUUACAUGAACAUCACGAUGCCUAAGGACACGCAAAAGAAUUGUCUCGAGUGUUUAGAUCAUAGAAUCAUUGUCUCGGGUAUUUAGAUCAUAGUCCGACGUAUCGAGUAUUUAGAUCAUAGUCCGACCUCGAUAUAUCCGUCUUGGACCUGUAAGAAAGCACUCGGAGCGGAAAGGCAACGGCCUACUCCCGUUACGCACAAAAGACACUUUUCUAUAGGAAUGGUUGUGAAUCGCCAAGCCAAAGCCUUUGAUUCAAAUCCCAGGUUAUGCAAAAAUGAAUUCAAUAUUCAGGAUUUGCUUAGCAACUUCCAGUAGGUCAGCUACGCCUGGCACAGUGAGACUAAUUCCUUCAGUCGAAAAGCCUGAGUCCCUCGAGAAAGACCCCUAGCGCUCAAGACAAGAAAAGAAAGUAAGCGCAUCUCCCUCGGCUAGGAAAGUGGAUACUCUUUCUAUUAAUUAGUCCUACCUCGAUAAAGGAAAUCGGGACAAGAAUAAUAGGGCCUUUUACCUUACAUUGCUAGGCUGCAACUGAGGCUCUUUCGUAUGAGUCUUUGUCCUGAUUCAAUUCGAAUACUCACUUCUAUUUUCACUUAUAUUUGACUUCACUUAUAUUUCACAAUGUUCCACGCAUAACAAAAAGAAGGCCUCGGCAAAGAAAAGAAAGUGGCUCCUGUAACUAAAUAAAGUAGGGGAGGGGACUCGGCAAAAGAAAGACGCAGCACGGUGAAAAGUUGGCUCGGAAUCGGCUCGCUCCUCUUUCCGUUUCGGCAUAAGCUGUUUAGGUUCGUAUGAGGAAGUCCGUUCAGUUACGCAAGGCAGGUAAGUUAGAUGAGGAAGUCCGUUCAGUUACGCAAGGCAGGUAAGUUAGAGGUCUCGUCUGAAUCAGUUACGGAUUCAGGUAGGAAAGCCAGUCUGGGCAGAGUUGGAAGAUUCUCCCGCUACAAGAUAGUCCACGAACCAAGAGUUCUACCCGCACGGAGUCUUUUUCCCUCGUCUUUGUUGGCUAAUUAACCAAGGAUGAGGAAUGAGUCUGUGCCUUACUCUGUGCCUUACACUCCCGGUUCAUUAAGAGUAGGCAACUUUGCAUUGGCGGAUUCUUCUGCAACAUUUGGGCUAUCCUCUCCAGCUUCUGUGCCAUAACUACUAGCUUAGAAAGUCGCUAGCUCGCUCUAUCUGCUGAUGAUGAUUCGUCUUCUUCCGCUGUGUCCGCAUUAGCAGCAGAUUAUUUCUCAACAGAGUGAAGAUGAUUCAACAUAAACCUAGCCUGCCUUAGAAGGAUAUCCCCUUCUCUUUCUAUUGAUUUCAUCUCUAAAGGAGGGGCCGCCUUAGAGAAGGAAGCUUUGAUGCUGGUCCUUUUGCGGCUGAGCCUCAUUCCACUCCCCAGAAAAGAAAUCUGCUUAGCCUUAAGAAGAUGGGCCUUGCCCUAAGUAAGAGUCACCCCUCGUAACUUAUCGGAUCAGCUGCUUGAGUCCCUCGCCCUUAUAGUAGUGGUAUAGCUGGAAGGUCCACCUGAAGAAAACUAGCGCUAGUGGGGCAGUCUGAAUAGGGGUUUAUGCUGAAUCCGCUUUCCCAGCAUCGGAAGCGAAAAUCAUACUUGAUUCUUUCCGAAAUCAGGAGCUUACAAAGCUGCUCACUUGGCCCUUGUAUUGUAUGAGCCGAUUCUGCCCCGGAACUAUUCUGAGAUGCCGAUUCUGUAGUAGGAGAUGAAGGCUCAGGCGCGGACUUUGCCUUUGCAUCUGCCCCAGAGGCUACAACUUAAGCAACUGACUUUGCUGCCGAAGCUGCAGAGCCCAUUAUAGUUAUAGGAAUAUUAUAUGCAUCUGGCACUUAGCCUCCCUCAUCACAAAUGGUUUACUCUCCUACUUAUACCGAAUGGGACGAAAGCCUUCCUCUCUAAAGUGAGGCAAAGCAAAGCUCAACCGAGGGCAAUGUUCCUGCAACUAAGAAACUACUAAUAAGAGUAGCAAGGCAAGUAACAGUCGAUCGAGGCCACCCUUGCAUCUCAGCAUACUUUGUGCGCCACCAGAGCUGGGCAUCACCUGUGAGGUACAUGAUCGCCAUUGUGACCUUUGCCUCUUCCGAGUCGGGUCUCACUACACGAAAGUACUGCUAAAUAUCGAAAAGGAGUUUCCUCUGAUAUGUUACGGUGUUUUUUCGGCCGGUUUUCGCCAGUAUCGAAUAAGCAAAAGAAGGAAACCAGUAAACAAGCAAGACAGAUAAGCAGGCAAUGUCAUUGAUAGGAAGCAAGCAACUGAUUGAUUGUGCAUUAGAGACGGAGGUGGUAUUCUUCUAGAGAAGGAAAAGGGAAGCCAAGCCCUGAAAUUAAGGCAGAUUCCCGAGCUGCCUGACGAGCAGCGGAUACGGGCAAAAGACUAGCAGCAGUAACUUGAACACUGGGAUUCUCACUGAAGUCAGAUUGUAAUUGUUUUUAUACCCUUGACUUAUCAAGCCCGGACUUCUCUCAAUUUCCUACAAAACACCUGAUAUGGCGACAACAGCGGUUACGUGAACAGCAGAUCCCUCAGACACAAAAGACGAUUUGUAGCAUUCCACUAGCUAUUCUUUCACUAGUGCAUUCUGCUAGCUCUCCUUCUUUUAGCUAUUCUUUCACUAGUGCAUUCUGCUAGCUCUCCUUCUUUCUUUCAUAAAUCUCAUGCCUAUCUUUCAAGACAGAGACUAUUCCCAUUUAUCGGCCUAAGGACUGCUAAUGAGAGCCUUCCUCGCCAUGUUCAAAAGAUCUCUCUUUAUGCUCGAAAUCGUCUGGUAUGGACUUCUAUUAUAUAACUGAUAAGGAUCCGGAAGGCUAGAGAUAAGACCCUUCGUCGCAAAGAAAAGGCUUUAUCGCGCCGGACAGUUCACUUUAUAAGAAAUAGAGCAGAUUCUAUACCAUUGGUUAAUAAAAGCACUUUCUUCCCUUUCGACUGCUAACUCUUUGAAAUACAGUAAAGCGAUGCCUUACCACAAUAAUCAUAUUCAAGUUCUCCAAAUAGUAAUGAAAGCAUAUAAAAAGAACGUUACGCACCUCUUUUCAGUGAAAAACUCCCUAUACUAUUAGAUUUAUUGAUUUCAAAUCCAUAUUUGUAGCAGCUAACAAAUCCGCUGGGAGCCCUAUAACUAAGAUAAGAUGACGGACUACACACCUGGCACAAAUCCAUAUUCCAUUAAGAAGCAUGCCUGUCCCUAUAGCCACACGAAUAACGGGCGGAUACGAAUAAAAUAGAGAAGGCCGCGAACAACACUAAUAGUGAAAGGAGGCCUGGCCCAAACCUAUUUCUUUUCAGGCCGAAUCUCUUUAUAUAACGGAACCCGUUCACUCAAUCAAAGAAAGCUCGACCCAAGCUGAAGGCUGUUAUGUGAUUCCCGAGACCCUACUUCCUAAUUGAUCCUAUCCGAGAAGGCUAUCUAUCUUAUACCUGAGGGCGCUCUAUGAAACCCCGAAGAGCCACCCAAACCAAGGGCUAUCUAUUAUCCACUUAUUCAUCCGGAGGAUUGUUAGUAGUAGCUGCCUUUUAGGAAUCCAUAACCCAGAGAAAUAGGUGUUGUCGCUUCUCCCCCUGCCCACCGUUCUACCUCCCUAUGAGGCUAACGAUUUCAUAACCAUCUUUGUAGCUCCGUUUCCGGCUCCUACCUAUUUAUUCUAUGGAUAUACCAAGAAAGAUGUACGGUCUAAUUAGGCUACUACGAAAUAUUGACUCAUGGGUGGGCUCUCACUCAACGGAAGGCAGUUACAAAGCUUUCCUUUCCCAUAAGCCCCUUUCUUUCACUUUACUGGAAGGUCGAACCAAAAGCAGAUGCUCACUAAAAGCAAUCCGAGGUGAAUGGAAAGAUAAGAGCACGGGAAUGAACCAUACCAUAGGGCUAGCUUUAGUAAAUCAAAUAAGAAGGACAAAGAGUCAAUAAAAUAAGAAAGACAAAGAAAGGUUAGUAGAAACUGCUUAAUCGAGACGUAAGCCAACCUUAUUCGCGGUAUUAGUUCCUACGCUCCCUACCGGUUAAGCCAGUCACCUCUUCCCUCGAUCUACGAAAAGAAAGGAUUCUCAUACAACAGGGAAGACAGGAAGGAUUGCAAGGCUUACACAACAAGCAAGAAAAAUCAGAUCUGGAAAGCAAGCUGGGAAACAGUAGAAAGCUGGCAGGGCAACUCAAUCAAGAACGGAAGUCACUUCGCUAACUCAAAAAGAACAGCCCCUAGAUCUGAUGCCCCGACUUCGACCACUUCCAAUAGCUUGCGCUACAGCAGAAGGAAAGAGUUGAAGCAAGGGAAAGAAAGAAGACUUUACGACAGUAGCAGCAACCUGAGAAGCACUAGUUUGAGUAUUGAUAGUUGUAGCUGCUUGGCCCGAGUUGAGUUAUUGAGAUUACCUAUUGGAUUAUUGCUUUACCCAGAAAGAUGUUUUCUCUAGAAAGAGAUUAGUGAAAAAUGAACUAGAACGUCACUUAUGAGUUUGGAUAGCUAAAAAAGCAGAAAGAAGUCUGGCUGCUGGGCUUGUUGUUCAAUAGGCUCUUCCGCCUUCUCGGUUGAUGGCACGGGCGCAAACGUCAAUAUAUAAGUUGAUGCUGGCUCGGCAAAGUAAGCUGUUUCGAAGCAAGCGGCUGAGGCAUUUUCUUUCGGAUUAGUUGAUCUUGUCCUAACCGCUAAAAAGUCCUAAGGCAAAGGGUAGUACUUGGGCUAUCGGCUGUAGUAGGGCUAGAGGCUUUAGCUUCCCUAUCUAUUCCAAUUCGUGUAAAGAGUAAACCGAACAAGCUUGAAAGACAAGCAAGGUAGGCUUUGAGCUACAUCUUAAGCUUUGGAAAAGGAAGGAGUAGAGUUGAGCUCCGUUCCCAAGAUCUACUUCUUUAGGGACCUUUGAUAUACGGAUUUUCUAUUAGGGCCUCUUGCCUAUAUCUCCGCUCUUUCUACCUUAUUAUCCCCCAGGAGCCUCCAAAAUCCGCUUCAAUUGCGGGGCAACAAUCCUUUCUAGUUAGCUCAGUGCGUGAAAUCCAAUAUAUAAGAAAGGCUAUUCCUGAUCUUCAGAGUGUAGUUGAUGGUUCUAGGUAAAAUUGAUUCUUUCUUUCCAAAGGAUAUCCGCAGGUCUAUCAAGUCUAAGCUUUCUAAGGAGUGUCAAGUUCUCCCAUUAAGAAAAGUACUAGUCAAAAGAGCGAUAGAUACCGUGUCUAAGAGAGAGAAUGCUUACUAUUAGGAAGCAAAUGGAGCCUGCCAGUAAUGAGAUGACCCAUUGCUGGGGCCUUAUAGAUGAACGAACGGGAAGGGAAAGGGAAAGAUUCCUGUGUACUCUACCCAUGAAAGCACAACAACAACGGGAAUAGCUCCUACUUAAGAGCUCUCGUACUUAGCUUAGUUACGAGUUCGAGCCUUAGAAGCAUGCAAAGGUCUGGGUGGGGAAUAAGUUUCGUAUGAGUCCUUUAAUCGAGUCCCUCUUCUUUCAUAGGUGCCUUCAGGUAGCAUGUUUUGAUUCGCCUAGGGUUCAAAAGAAAGAGAGUAAGUUGUUGGGGCAAAGCAACAAGACGUGUUGUGCUAAAGUAUAGAGUCUAGAGUUAGGGCAGUGUUCUUCAUAACUUCUAUCUACAUGUAUAAUAAACAAGGCAAUAAAGUAUAGAGUAUAGAGGUCGGGUAAUGUUUUUCAAAACUUCUAUCUAUAUGUAUAGAAGCAACAAGCAAACUCAUUAUAGUCCCGGGCGUGGUUGAGUUGAGUUAGCUGUUCUUAUCAGAAGGUUAUUGGAGUAAGGAGUAAGGGUGAUGUUACUUUUGGACAUAAUGGGUGGUGCACUCACAUUUCAACAAGCAAGAGCGUUAGCGAGCCACCACUUAUUCAUUCCUAAGGCUGAAAACUGACUACCGGGAGUUGAAACAACUCUGCCUACUGCUCGGUUAAUGCGCUAAGUCAAUCAGUAGAGAACAAGCAAUGGAAUGCAAAUAAGCUGUGAGGAAGCUACGGGACAAAGAAACAAGCUUUAGGCAGUAAGGUUACUAAUUCACAUAAGGGGUACACCACACUCGAUUCCUUCUCUGCGCAGGGUAAUCCAUCGAAUAUUCCUUUAGCAAGCGCUAGGCCCCGGGAGGAAGUUCUGAAGAUAUUACAUGAAAUUCCGUAUUGAUUGGCAAGGGAACAAGCAAACCCUUUUGUGCUAAAAGAGUGAGCUUAUGCGUCAGGAAUGGAUAGUGUUGUUACUUUAUUUGAGUUGAGCAGUGAGGUGACUUUCGGGGGCACAAGUUACACCGUUGUGCAAGCUGUUAUGCGUUAGCUUCCAGACUAUGAGUUUUCGGGUAGGGCAGACUAUGAGUUUUCGGGUAGGGGAACACCAACAGCAGAAGAAAGAUCUCAAGCAGGAUCCGGAGAAGAUGCUUGAGCAGGAAAGUCUCUCGUUGUUGUCGACUCGAGAGGUAAAGUCAAGGUGAUUGUUCCAACAAGACUUAGUGCUAAUCCCAGUUUACCUGAAAGCCCCUGCCCUGCCCACAAGCAAGAGAUUCGAAAUGGGGCGGGUAGCCUAAAACUUCACUUCUGCAAAUGGAGUUCUUUGUUUCAAGUGUUGUUAGAGUUUCAUCGUACUAAGAAGGAUUUGAAGCAGAAUAAGCAAGGGCGGUACGUACAGUCAAGUCCAAAGGGGAUUCUAGGCUACAAAAGCAUUUCCAGAGCCGAUAGAGUACUUUCAAAGGUGGGAUGGGAUUCUUUUCUAUAAUAGGAGUUUCCCGCUACUCCCAAUAAGGGUUUACAGCCCCGUUCAUUAAUGUAUUGGCAACCUGGGUGACUCGGUGCAAGACAAGUGCAUUUCUGGGUUCCUCUGUGCUAAAAAUAGAUUAUUUGACAGUUUGACUCGGUGCAAGACAAGAGAUAGAUUCCAUUAAGUAAGCAAGCAGUUUCUUCAAGUGAAAUGGAGUUACAUUCAAGAAGAGUGUUUGCGACGAGAUAAGAGGCUUGAUCCAGUUCGUCAGCAGCAAUUCUCUCUUCCGGGCUCGCAACAAGUCAAGUUAUUGGUAGUAACCCUUUGGAAUGAGAAACUACGGAAGCUAGUGCGGUGCUUUUGAAGUCAUAAACAUUAAUAUCAUCUGUUGAUUCUUUAGAUCCAGCUCCAUAUGUGGCUUAUUAUCCGGAUCCUUAUUGAGUCUCUUAUCUAUAUGAAGAUCCUCACUUUCGAACAGGAACUUUCCCACAAGGAACUAGAGCAGAACAAUCCGUUUACGACUUCACCUCUUAUUUGAGAAUGACACCGAAAGUCAGAAUAAUAGCUUGAUUAUUCCCUUAAGCGUAUAGUGGGCUAAGCGUCGCAUUCGGCAUUCUGUCUUCUCUAUACGACAACAAAGGUAAAGAAUCAGGACUUAUAUUAUAUACGACGGUAAAGAACCGAACCCCUACUUCUAUUAUAUACGACAAGGAGCAUAACCCUAACUCACUGAUAAAGCGACUUUGACCACACCUCGCUCCCCCCUCGCUUACUUAGACUUCUGUUAUGGAUUACAGAUUCAAUUAGGCCGCCCCCGUUUUCUGAUAUUUCAUAAUAGGGUAAUAUAGCGCAUCUAACAUGGAAUUGAGUAUACUUAAGACUUGAUGCUUAAUACUUAAGGCAACACCUCUUCUCUCAGCGCCAACUCCUUAUUGUGAAACGGACUCAGUGACUUAUGUCCUUACUCCAACAAGCAAAGAAUCUCCUUUGCCUCUUUCUUCUCUUGAAACAACUGUUGGGCCAGUCAAACUGGAAUUCCAGAAAGAAGUAGCAUAUGAUAGAAAUAAGUAGUGACCUCAAUCGUUGCUCUUUUCCUCCAAAGCUAACAUUAGCACAACGUCUUGUUCUUUGACUAUUCUAUCUUUCCGUCCUUUCCUUAUGAAGCGCUGUAUCCUCUUGAGUAGAGUACCCUUGGGAGCGAGUGAGGUGAGUCUUACUACGGGGAAGCUCUGGAGUGCGCGAUCAACAGCUCUCAGAUAUUAAUAAAUAAGAAAGAGUGCUUCUUUGUUUGCUUGCCUCAAUUCCUUCUAAAGCGCAGUUGUCAAUGCAAGUGGUUCUGGUUCUGUUGUCUAAAGUGGGUAAGUAGCCAAAUUGCCGGAUAGUGAUUGUCCCGCUUACCCUGGUGGUAUUGUUACAGGGUGCGAAAGAGGCGGGGUUCUUGGCGUAUAGGUGAUUGUUUCUCAGUUAGCGAGCUCAGUUCUGGGCUUUCCCUUUGUUGUCGUAGCGUAGAUAAAGUCAUCUUCCAGUGGGUUUGUUUUCUGCUUAUGCUACUUUCUUAAUAAAUGGAGAGAUUCAAUGAAUUCUUAAGACAGGAACUAAUAUGAAAUGACAGUCGUUUUUUUACAUGCACAUUCUAUACUAACUCAAUGCAGAAUACUAUCUUGAUUGUUGAUUUCGGCUAACUACGUGUUUCAGUGUUUUGAAUCUAUUAUGGAAUAUGUGUUCCUUCUAUUUGAAUUAGAGUAUAUAGUUAAGGAGCUAAGUUUUAGGUUACUCUCUUCUAUAAUCAAUAUGUAAGUUCAAUUCAGAGUUGUCGUGCAUACUUAGUUGUCAUGCAUAUUCCUUAGAGCCAUAAGUAUAGUUUCACUGUUUUGUUAGGGAAAGCAUAUAGAGUAACGGAGUGAUGUGACUCAUUUACAUAAGAGGUGUGCACACUCAAUUCCAAGAACUCAACACCGGUUACAGAGUACUUAGCGCUUCAGAAGGAAAAGACAAGAAGUGUAGUUCAGAAGCACUCUGACAAGAAAUAAGUUGGAGAGUAACCUACUAGAAGAAGCUUGAAAAUAGACCUUUUGCAUCGGACAAACUACUAAAGCUUCUUAUGAUUCUCGAGUCGACAUGAACUUUGCCCUGACUUUCGCCGGUAAACUAUCUUAGCUAUGACGAUGAAGAAUUGUAAAAGAAGAGAGUUUUGGCACCCACCCCGGAAAGUCACCUCACUCUCAAUAUGAUAAUUGCAUUGCUCACUAAAAACUAAGCCUUAGCACAACGAACCGAACGCCGAAAGAAAAGAAUGGAACUCGCAUAGGAGUAAGAGAGGAAGAUAGGCAUAUCACUCUUGACUCUGAGGCUGAGGCAUCGCUAUCCCUAUUUGUUGAAGUAAGCGGGGAACCUAGUAUCGGAAUUGAACAGAGUACUUCCUUAUAUACCAAGUGCUCACCAACUAUGAAAUUCUUAACUUCCAGCGCACUGUAUAAGAAGCCUCAUCUAGAUAAGAAACAGAAGCAAGAUUCGAAUAAGUAGAAUAAGAAACUAUUAACUUAAGUGGGAGGAAGAAAAAGAAAGGGAAGCAGUUGGAAGGUCAGCUCCGGUUGAAGGUAAGCUGUUAUAGCUGGGCCAGAUCCACCAGUUGUUGCUGUAGCGGAACCCUAUGCCUUUUGUUAGCUAGCCCUCUGUCCAAGUUAUUUGUAUAGGGCCUGCAAGAAAGGGUGUCUCCUUCCCUAAUGUCCUGCUGUUUCUUAGUUUCCCCUAUGUCCUUUCAGCAAGUAAUUAAUCGUAUUGCUUUGACCCUUGCAGAGUUCCCAAAAAGCAUGGAGCUUGGGAAGCCUCUCUAGUACCGCCCGGUAAAGAUCCGAACCCUAUCCUUUUCCUUUCCAAACUAAAGAAAGCGUAAGCAAUCCCCUCAUUGCAUACAUAGAUGCUUCCCUAUGAACGAGAACUCCAAUUAGAAUAGAAGGAAGGGGCUAGUAGAACAGGCGCAUUGUCUAUAACCGAAGGAAAAGCUUAUCGAGCGCAUCAAGAUGGAAGAUCUCGAAAUAAAGUAAUAGAGCGUCUCAGGAAUUCCGUUCUGAGACAGCGCCCCCUUGAGUGUCCCCGUAACUCUUCCUCAGCUAGGGCAGGCUGGCAGGCUUGGGUUGUUCUAGACCUGCUCUUGAAGAUAGAUUCCUACCACCAUGGUCAGAAUGAAAGAAUGAACUUACCUAAAGAGAGAGCACCCUAGAGCACAUUAUCACUUUAGCAAUGAAAGUAUAUUACACCAUCUAUUUGUUUCUAAGGGCUCUGGAUAGAUAUAGAUUUAUGGAUCUCUUGCCUUUGUCCGAUCGCUUUCGUUCUGCAGAGGUAGUGGACAAGGCGACAUCCACUCCUGUAAUUCCAGCAAUCAAUCGGGUCAAUUCAUUUACGCGAGACGCUGCUCCACUCUUUAGCUUUGCCAUUCACAUACCGUUAGUUGUAGCUUGGCCCAGGAAAUUCCAUGAAAGGGAAAAGAGACUGCGCACAACGUGUAUAAUAAAGUCACUUAAAACCUAUUCUUCUCUGUGUGGGGGGAACACAACUUUCUUUAUGAACCAACAACACUAGAACCGCCCUACUAGUACUUUCUUAGAGCCAAUCGAUGGCUUGAACUCCCCUAAUGAAAAAACACAAGGACUUGCACAUGGCAAUGGCCGAAAGAACAAGUGUAGAGGCACUCAAACCUGCGAGCUACAGCGAUAACGACUUAGACCACAUAAGGGGAAGGAAACCCAAGGGAAAGCAAAUAAGUCCACUCCACGACACCGCGCUUCAAAGCAAAGCAAGCCUUGACUUUCUUCUGACCUUAACACCACCAAUAACUCGCGUUAGCGCUUUCACUCAACUCAGUUAGCGAGCCUUGUUGAUAGGAUAAAGAAUGAAGUAUUCUGAGCACUUGAAGAUAGUAUUGAAACACGCACAUAACAAGAGACUAUACCGUAGAGCUCACUUUAGCAUUAACCAUGUAGUGGGCCGCUCUUCUUCUUUGAUCAGGAGUUUUAGAAUGUCUUGGAAAGCAGGGUUCAUCUGUUCUUGUUGUUGGCGACUCGAGAGGUUCAGGUGAAAAACAACAUAUUUGGGGGGUUCAGCAAGUAGAGUUAGAAAGGAAGCUUAUGAAUUGCCGGUUCAUCCAGUAGAGUUAGAAAGGAAGCUUAUGAAUAGCCAGUAACAGUUAUACACCCUAGUAAACUCGAGUAAGCCUUAUCCGAUAUAGCUGGAUCAGGAUCAAGUCAGUCAGCUGCAAACAUAGUAUAGCACCUGGUAAUAAGAGAAUCAGAGGAAGAGCAAAUGUACGCAUAAAGUGUACCGAGAAUGAGAAUGUACGCAUAACAAAAGUAUGUGUAUAGAAACCUGUAAAUACCAAGCCAAGGAUCUUAUUCCUACUCAGGAUACAAUACCGCCUCCUCACCUGCGCAUCAAUGACAUUUGCCAUAAGAGGAGUGAAAACCCUACCCUAGUUCAAGUUCUUAAGUAAGCUGCUGCUCUUAUUGUAAGUUUCUGCUCCUGUUCUUGUUUAAUACCGGUAGUACUGUUAUAGUUUAGUGUUGUAGUGGAGAAUUGCCUGUCGGCUUGGCCCCAGUAAGUAGUUAAAGUGAAGUAUUGCCAGCAAAGUCCGUAUUGCCAGUUGCCAGAGCCCCAUAGUUUCUGAGAUGAGCCAGAGUGAAAAGAGCAAGAGAGGAGCCCAAGCCUACUAUACUAUUGAUCCCAACUAAGCAGGCCAAGAAGGUAGCCCCACUUUAGGUAUGGUUUGCAUCAAGAUUUGUACUAAACAAGAAACUACGGAAAUGGUUUAAGUAGUCGCUAACGCUUGUUUGAAAGCUCCAAGAACGAGAGAUAGAAUAGAGUGGUUUGUUUUGAUGUCCGUUGUUGGAAGAGGGGCUAAAUGCUAUCACGUUGUUGGAAGAGGGGCUAAGAGAAUUGUGGAGCAAGCGAAGAGUUAGUUCGUUAUUUAUAAAGAAAUGCGAGUCUAUUACUUACUCAUUUUAUUGUAGCAGCGAGUCAAGGAGUUAUUUCUCUACAAAAUGCAAGUCUAUUACUUACUCAUUUUAUUGUAGCAGCGAGUCAAGGAGUUAUUUCUCUACAAAAUGCAAGUCUAUUACUUACUCAUUUUAUUGUAGCAGCGAGUCAAGGAGUUAUUUCUCUACUCUAAAUGCUUCCCUUUCAUAUUCACAUGGACUUAGACUGCCUUGGAGAAACCAUCUAUUGGGAAUGCUUGAAGAGCGAGAGAGGGUAGGAUGUUACUACCAUUACGCAAAAGAAUGCAAGUAUGAAAAACCAACCCUUCGCUUAGCCAGGUUCGACUACGGUUAAUAUCUAUCAUCAUUAUCUGCAUCACAGCGUCUUAUAAAUCGACACAAGCUACCAUGUGCUUCCACUAUAGGCUUCCUUCCAUAUAUCGUGAUCGAAGGGCUUAGAUAUGCUGCGAUAAUACGGUGAUAUGCUAUUUCUUUUGGGCGGGUACAACCUAUACAAACUAUAGUCCCCCGGCACCUGUAACAUAAACAAGAAGGGAUCAUCUUCCAAGUCAGUAUCACUAGGCUAUUAUAAGCUACAAAAUACUUCCUUUACCGAGCCGAGGAUUUCCUUUUCUUUUUCUCCAUGCAGACUGGACGCAAUGAGUGAGCCCCUAUCCUAUCUGAAGGGAAAUAAUCCCAGGUAAUAUACAAAACCUACCCUCAAGUUGGACCAACCGGGAAUUCUCCCCCAAUCCCUUAAGAGGUAGCGUCAGUCCAGAUCUGUGCACGAACCUAGAAUCCAUUUCUCUCGAUAGAAGUAAGCAGUAGUUCCGUCUCUGGCCAAACUAAGAUAAAAGAGGCAUUCAAUACUUAGCUUCAAUUCCUUUUAGUGGAGCCGCAUUCUUUACUAUAUGAAGAUAUGAGUACCAUAGCCGUCUGUCUAGUUUAUGCGUGAAACUUCUGGUAAUAGCAUAGCUUCGUUUUUCACUCCUCUUUGCUCAAUGCAUAGCAGAAGAGCUUUGCAGGAAUAGCCUACAAUCUAGAACAAACAAUCUGAUUGAAUCUUUCCCUCUUCUGGUAACUGAGUUCCUGCCGCAGAAAGAAUUUGAAUGGAGGAGAGAGCUAAUGUUAUUAUUUGGUGGAGAAGCAUUGUGUAUUAGACUUGGUCGACGAUAUUGAUCCUUAUUUCUCUUCUAUUCUUAACACAGUGUGGUAAGAGCGAAUGCAGUCAAUCUCAUUUGAUGGAGAAGUUGCCCUGCCCUUUCUUUCUCUUGCUUCUAUUCCCGUCAACGUACCGAAAUAGGAUAUACAUUUGAUCAAAAAGGAGUCACUUCACAUGAGAAGCGUUGAAUCACAACCAGUAAAAGAAGCUACUUUGCAGAACCAAACAUAUAUCAAGCAAGGAACGAGUUUAAUCAGGUAUGUCGCUUGCCGCUGUCCUAGCUUGUAGCCACAUCGGUAAUGGUAACAGCCAAUAAGUUGAUCAAACACCAGUCAAGGAAGUUCAAAGACAGAAAGAAAGGAGGUCCCAGGGGAAAGGCUUUCAGCACCUUAUCCAAUCCCCUCCCGUAGGUCUCGAAGUAAGCUGGGUAAAACAAAUCCGGAACGGGGCAUCUUUGGCAUGUAGUUGCAGGACUUAUUCUUCCUAUUCUAAUGUUAUGAUCAGAAUGAGUCUGUUGUAGUAAAAGUCAAAACAACUGGUGCUACACGCAAAGCGUAUUCUCCUUUGAGCUGACUUCGACCGCGAGCCUAUGGCAUAAGGUAUCCAGGAAUUCCGUUCCUUAGACAAGGGCCCUUUCAUCAAUUGUCAAUCUUAUGGCUGCCAAGGGCGAAUGGGAAAAAUCAGUACUGAGAGGGACGGGGAAUACAUAAAGGAAAUAGAGUAGACAAGCAGACAGCAGGUUUACCUUUUCUCCCCGAAAGAACGGAUGGUUUUUUUCAGCGUAUGAAGUCGUUCAUUUCCCACGUCUUUGAUUUCUCAGGAGCCCUAACUAGCAUAGGCGGUAGUAGUCAACUACGUCUUACCCCGGUCCAAAAUAAGGUCAACGAUCCAAACAAGGAGUUUCACUCUUCCCCAGUUGCGGAAAUCUACGAUUAUCUUGGUCUUUACGACUAAUUGCUUUCUCUUUCAACAGACCUACGGAAGAUGGAAGGAAGUGUUCCUGAAAUGACUUCUUUGAUUUUUGGAAGUAGUGAUUGGAAUCUGCCUUUGUUGAAUCUGCUGAUGAGGCAUCUGCUUUCUAUUAGACACCUUGUGAAAAGCUCUUUCCUUUCUCUCACCCCCACUGCUUCCCGAAGAGAUUGACUACAUUCCCACUUUUGUAGCUUGUAAGCGCUAAAAGGGAUCGUACAGAAUGUUACGGUUGCCAUCGGUGCUAGUCUGUAGUUCGUCUUUACCAUUGUCCAAUGCUUCUGCUUCAGCCUAUGGUUUACCGUAUCACUCGAUCAAUGUAGGCCUUCUCCUUGCCGGUCUCAUGACUAGUUCGUAAGUCUUUCCUUUUCUAGAAAGGAUGUUCCACCGCUUUUACCAGGAAAGGGAUUAGAAAGAGUAGUCUGCUUCAUUAGAAAGUAUUAGUUUUGCUUUGCUUUAUAGUCUACUUAGUUUGAGAGGAUGAAUCGAUUCUCUGAAUGUAAUAGAAGCCAACUGUGAACAAGAUCCUAAUCCUAGUAAUCAAUUGCUAAUCCUAGUACUAAAUAGAGGAAUAAGUAAAGUAGAGAAGUAAAGUAGACGUCUACAUCAGUAGAAGCCUAGAAGGCAAAACUCUGGGAAGGUUUAGAGUCACCGCUCAAAAAGGACAAGAAAAAGGCGAGUUUCGAUAAGGUAUCAGGUAACGUACAGGUCCAAUUCCAAAACACGAAGAAGACCGAACCUUCUUUAUACCUCGUAAGAGACGAAGGAAAGUGGAUUCUAUACUUUCUACGAAAAGCGCUAUAAUCCCAUCGAGAGAGUUAGAGUCUUUGAUGUUUGUUUUCGAAGGCCUAUCAUUCCUUUGGUUGCUAAAGUCUGGAUCUGUGGGGUAAAAGUACGAGAUCUCGUACUCAAUUAGAAUGUAAUAUAUUUGUUAUUAAAGUGUGUAGCGAAAGGACUUAAGCUUACAUACAAUAGGCCUAUGAAAGAAAGUAGCCGUAGAGAUUCAAUCAUAACAAAGAGAAGGGCCAAGGGUUAUAAUACUCAUAGAUUCCUUAGCCUUAUUUGUUAGUAAAGUCGUUAAGGUCGGUUUGUGUAGUUCAGUUAUUUUGAACGAUCUCCGAUCACAGCGUAUACUCGGAAAGGCAAUCGAGACUUAGUCUCUGUUUAAGUUGGUCAAGCUCAUCAAACUAGAAUGUCGUCUCCCACCUCACCCUCUCCUGGUGCUGAUGGGGUUAAUGCAUCUACUGUACCAGGUAAGACAACAGACUCUGAUUCACUUCAAUUAAGGCAUUUCUCAAGCUUAUCUUCCAUUUCCAUUGUUUAGUCCUACCCCUGUAUACUAGUCACUCACCAAACACUUACUCAAUUUGCCUGAACUCAACGUAACCAUACUGAACUUUCACUUGUUUCAAAGCCUAACAUUACUUCUGCGAGAGAAUAGGGGGACCCGACGAAGAAAGGACUCGUUGCUUGGCUCUUGUAAGCUUGUUAUUCUUUCCUUCGCUUGGGACUCACUAGCACACUCAUUGCUGCUUUCUUGCUUGAUUGCUUCUGAUGAACCAAACCAAUGAUAGAGAUCUCUAAGAGCUGCUCUUCAAUCCGUCCCUGAGCUUCUACAGGAUGUCGGGCAUUCAUUCCGUCUUCAGGUUCAGAAUGCGUCGAAAGAAGACCUUCGCGCCGCUAGCCUCCUCUUGGUACUCGGUUUUUUUGUUCCUGCCUGAGUAGUUGUUCAAAGGAAAGAUGGUCAAUUUCUAUCAAAAAGGAGAGAUGGUCCAUUUCUAUCAAUGUUGACAAGGCGAAGAACUGAUAUAGAGAGUAGUAAUAUUGGCCUAUCGCACAGCCCAGUUUGCUUGAUUUGAUUAAUUCUGCAUUCUUUAUAUAGGUUUGUUUUCUCCCUGACUAAAUGUUACUUUAAGGACCUAUUUUACCUGCGGUUACUUUAAAGGAAAGGACCUCUUUUCCGGCUUCUUGGCCACAACCACAGCUAUGGCUCGUAGUAGAAAUAGGGUUCUUUGAUCGCUUUAUUUGCCGCUUCAGAGUUGUAGAUUGAUCUCCUAUACAUCUUGGUAAAGCAGUGGAACUAAUGGCUGGCCGCGCAGGGGUACAUUAUGCUAAUCAAGCAAUAAGUUCAAGUAUAGUGAUUUUAGUGGAAUAGACUAUGACUGGACACAAAGUGACUCUUCCUUAAUAAUAGGGUACUGGGUAAUUGACUCAAUUCAAUUUCAUUAAGGGAGGGUGAGAAUCAGAUAGCUGACGGGCGGGCCUUUUGCAUUCUCACUCUAAUGUUGGAGCUAAGCUCAUGUAACGGCUGUUUCCGGUAGUUGUAGUUGCCUUUAUGUCCGAAAGCCUGUUCAGAAGGUGCGACAGAAUGGCGAUUCUCUUGCUCGUGUCUUGGUCACAUCUACUGCUACAGCAAGUAGUAUAGUAUUAGUAGGAGCUCAUAGUCUUUUCAUUGCUCGCCCGAAUCCACUAUUCUCUCAGUUUCUUUCGUCUGUGGGACGCCUGAGAUAGACUUUUGAAAACGAAAGCUUGCUUGCUAUUCUGAGACUUUCUCCUGUACCGUGGAUUCCAACAUCUUUCGAUCAAUAGUACCCCGUUCCAUAUAGCCUGACUGUAACUGAUUGAAUUGCCUGGUUCACUAUUUGUAUUCGAUCAAGGAAGUUUCAAAUCCAGAGCUAGAAAUCUCUUUACCACUAAUAUAGAGAAGGUAGCAGUCUUUCCCUUCCUAUACGCAUUGUCAUCAGAUCGAUCCGUUCCUCUUCAGCAAAGCACAAGAUAAGAAAGAGGAGUGGUACCCUAACCGCUUACUACUUUCUAUAUUCUAGGGGAUAGCUAUCCUCUUGGAUUUGAUCUACCCGUUGCUUGCUUACACUUGAAUCACGAAUAUUGGCAUACCCACAAUUGCAGUUAGAAUAUCGGCCUAGAACAAGGUUAAGAAAUCCAAUCGAGUUGGGGUGCAAGGAAUUUCAUCUAGUUAGCAGCAUAUGAGAGAAGAUAGUAACAACACGCUUAAAAGUAGCAUAUGAGAGAAUCCAGUAAACACAUCUUACAGCUAUUACCCCACUACAUUCCGUUAGCGAGUUAUGUCAUCGGCGUUAGGGAGUGACUUAAGCUUACGCGAGCAGAACACUGAAACUGUUGCUUUAAGACGAGAAUAUAGCGUUCCACACAUCACAUAUAGAAUGAAAGUCACUUAACAGAGCAUUGCUUUGUUUAAUCACUCAUCAAAUUCUUCUUAAGAGUUCUCUUUGUUUGCUUGAUAAGGCCGAUCAGAAGUCUACUCCUGCAAUGAAAUAGAAGUUCGCCUUAGUUCCCUGACCGUCUUCAUAGUCACAGUCUUUUCUUACGGUGGAAGUGAGUCUCAGGUCGAAGUGCUUCACCCCGCAAACUAGCAUUCUUUCCUGCUUGCUUCCAAGGGAAUCGGGAUAUAAAGAAUAUGAAUAUGUCUCUUUUCAAGUACUGAAAGAGUUAUUCUCUCCUUAUACUUAUUCCCCUACUAAGGACUCAAGUGGAAUGUGCUCCAAAGAAGGUGCUUCCAAGCAAAGGUUAUCGGGCCCGGCAAAGAGUUAUCUUAGCUUUUUCUCUCAUGAACAGAUUGAGAAAGAUAUUGCUGAAGAAGCCAUUGAAUCAACAGCUGUUGAAUAAGCGGUGGUGAAUAGGCCCUUGGAGGAAGAACAGGACAGGGGGAACCUUAACACGGCAUAGAAGGAACUUGCACGAAAUGUCCUGCUAACAUAGCAUAGGAGCACUCCUACAAAGAAAUAGAAUAGCUCACUUCAGGGGUAAAAGGCAAAAAGGGUCUGUCUCUGUAAACAAGAAAUGGAAUUGACCCUUAGGGACCUGCUAUUGGGCAAACUUAGUGUUGUAAAGUGAAAGUCCAGUAAGAAAUGAAUGAAAUAAAGUCAAAGUCAAACUCAACUCCCUGUGGUUAGGGAGUUCUUAUGCACCCCGUAUCCGCACACGUUAGCUUAAACAAACCACUUUGCUUCCUCUUAUAUUUCUUAUUAUUCAGUGGGAUUCUUAUGCUUCCUCUUAUACAUGGUAAGAAGUCCCUUCUAAUAAGUCCUAGAUAUACAACUUAGUACAAACUAUUAGAAAAGCCUAGCCUGAUUGAUUCUAAGAGCAUAGAGGAACCUAGAAAGCCUGAUUGAUUCUAAGAGCAUGGAGUAACCCAGAAAAGGAAAGUAUGAUGGAAAAGGAAAGUUGGAUUGAUUCUAAGAGCAUAGAGGAACCCGAACCCUAUACAUACAAUAAGUAUACAUACAUGAAGCUUAAUUAAUAGAAAACCAUCCCAAUCUAAUCCAUAAUAAAGAUAGUAACAGUUCUUUUGAAGAUAUUAUUGAGCCCGGUAACAGUUCUUUUGAAGAUAUUAUUGAGCCCGAUACUAAAGAAGCACGCAUAGAAGAACGCUACUCUUGCAAGAUUGAGUUUCUAGGUGUUUUCUUAUCUUCUUCCCGUCCUGCUAUUGGUGAAAGAAAUAUCUCCUGAGAGUCUGGAACUCGCUAAUGCUGAUGAAGUCACUCGCUUACUUUAGUUUAUGUUGCUUGUUGAGUUAUGUAAGUUAUUGUUUUAUGUGUUAGCGAGAGUUUUGCCUUUUUCUAUUCUUUCUCCUCUUUAAGCUAUCUACCAUGACUUGAAUCUCUAUCUCUAUAUAAUAGUUCUAACAUAAGAUCGUAAUGGGUCCCUUUGCCUAAUGUGUUUUUCUUAUCUUUUGUUUCUUUCCUCGGUCGCGCCUGAUCUUUCAUCGAAUAAUUGGGCCUUGUUCGGUUUAGUACUUAAAGCAUUCCAUUAUCUUAGUAGUUAGAGCAUGAAUUCCCUAUUGAUAUCAAGCAUAUAAGGAAAGAACGUCUAUGGCCUCCGAGCUAUAAGACGACUUUGUUACUGAACCCUGCCCGGAUUUAUUAGGAGAUUUUCUAUGGUGGUAAAUAACUCUCUUUUUGACUAAACAAGCAAAAGUCUACCGAAUUCUAUGAAUAGGUGCAUUUUCGCUAUCUGUCGAUUCCUCAUUGCAUUCUUUUACUGAACGUAUGAGUGUGCCAACCAAGCCAGGGAAGCGGAUAUGCUGAUUGCUGGAAGGAUAGCUAACACAAUUCUUCUUGCCCACAGGCUCAUUCUAUGAAAUAAAGAAUAGAGAGCCGAUCCAACCAAGAUCUAGAAAUACGUGUAGACCAUAUUGGAAAUAGAGAGCGUCUAUAGGGUUAGAGCGUAUAAGGGGAUUGAUUGGGGCUCAAGAUUGGAUGACUUCGUCGGUGGACUUUACACUUAUAGACGAGAAAAUGCCUUCAUAAUCUCUCUGUUUGAGGCGCAGUGGCUACCUAGCUUUCUUCACAGAGCGUUCUGUCCAUUAGCAUCAGUAUUGUUCAAUAGGCUUUCUUAGGGUUUCUCGACAAAAUCAUGGAAUUGAGUGCAAUAUGUUCUAAUUUAUUAACCUAGCUUCUGACUCUCUUCUUUCUUAUAGUUUCAGAUUGGAAUAGUCGUAAUACACAUUCUAUCCAAAUUGUAAAGUAACCGAACUCAAUAAGUGAAACAUCUUCCAUCUUCAAAUGAAUAACUUGUUUGCUUGCUUCAUAUCCUUUCUGAGUUUAGAAAUAGCCUUUUGUGAGUUUCGUUCUUGUCUUCAUUGCGUCGGCUAACGCUUAUUCUUGGGGCGAGUGUCAUAGUCGAUGGAAGCUCGUCUCGUAUCACAUCACCUUUAUCUAGCAAAGAAUCCCAUAAGUGUGCUCGAAUCACCGCAUACAAAGAAGCUCAAGCUUUAGAAGCAUAAGCCAUCCCAUGAGUGCAAUCCCCAGUCAUACCAAGCAGGGUUCAAGAGUUCAUUGAAUGGAUGGUACUCGCUAUAUAGAAUGCUGAGCCUUACUCCCUAUAAUAGGUCAAAGGCUUCCUUCUGGAAUGAACUUUAACUACGCGCAUAGUCCAAGUAAGUGGAAAGAUUGACUAAAAGCAAUUGUUAUUGACCAUCCUUUUGCUUUGAGUUUGUAGAGUAAGUCAAUGGGGACUCUAGUCCUUACUGAUUUGAUCCUUGCUAUCCGAGAUCCGUAGAAGAAACUUAAUAAGAGGAAGGGGAGUUCUUGUGGAUGGAGUGUAAGGCUAAUACUUUCGGUUGACUUGCUCGUCAGGGAGUUGGGUAACAAAUUCCGCCUAUGAUUGGUUGCUGGAAUCAAAGGGAUAGAUUCGAUUCUUUCGGGCCGGCAGGUAGGUUCCGAAGACAGGGAAUAGUCGUUUUAAGGUGAAUGGCGUGUAAUCAAAGACUUAAUGAAAGAGGUUAUGGGGCUUUCUUUGGUUAUUCCAUCGGUGGGGGAGUAGCUCAUUUGUAGGAGUGAAGGAGUCAGCUUCUAAGGUCAAAGCUAGGAGAGAUAGUUCCGUCUCGCUCAAAGUAUUCUCUGUCGCCCAUCAUCUUCGUAAAGUCCACCGCUGAUCUAUAACCUUGGAGUCACCUCCCGCUCAUUCCUUCCGGCAACUCUGAAUUUGGAGUGGGUAGGCUUAUUCUUUCUCAACCAACUGUAGACUACUUUUGGUUAGUUACAUACCAUAUAAAUCCAAAGAUUCUCUCUAUCUAAGCAAGUAUAUACGUUAGUUAUCUCUAUCUAAGCAAGUAUAUACGUUUGAUUCGCUCAGGGAGAUCCUUUCUAGAGUCAUCGGCCAGCCAUAACAUAAGGAUGAACAUUUGGAAAGCGCAUCCCCGGGGCCCGUCUAGUGAAUUAGGAACGCAUCGGCAUACCGACCUGCCUCCGCUAAGGAAUGGGAUUGAUCCAUGUAACGGCAAGCUUACAAAUAUAUUGAUGUACCUCAGAUCCAAUGGUAUCAGGCACUUUCCGCUUCGGUGAAUGGUCUUUCUCGAGCUCGAGUGGGGAUUCCAACGAAUGGGAUCUCUUCCUAAAGGUUUGCGAGAUGGGGGGCCAUAAGAAGCAUCGAAAUAGCUCGUUCAGACAGAGAUGUAUGUGUCAAAGUAUACCUACAAGUAGCUCGGGUGUACUAUACUCUAAAUAAAGAAGAAGCUACCUGUUCAAUGGAUUCCAAAUCUUUGAUGCCUGGCCAGUUUGUUAUAAGCUUUGAUUUGAGCCUUGAGCUGCACUUUGGCCUUUUUGAGAGGAAGUCUUCCCUUUUGUCCUAGAGCAGAGUUAGGACUGUGGGGAUUUCGGGAUGGUCGUCGGGCAAUAGGUGGAGUUUGGAUUGGACAAAUGGGAGUUGCUCUUGCUAGAGACUAGACUGUUCCGGGCCCUUUCGGCUCUUCCAAAUAAUAUGCUGUUCUCUUUCCUCUUGCUAUUAGCAGCUAUAUCAUCUGCCUAAGGAGAUUUCGAGUCUGCCUUUGUUGUCUUGUUCGGGAGAGAAGGAGAGAUAGCUGGUUUAGAAAGAGAUAUAAGGAGCUGAAAGCCUUUGCUUUCCAGAAUUCACCCCAAAAGGAACUUCCUAGGCGUGGUAGUGGUUUCUAUGGUCCCAACUCAGAAUUUCGCUUUAGUUGAGUCGACAGGGAACGAAUGCUUUGCGGGGAAAUAAGCUCUUGUUGACGAAGCCGAGAAUGAAGAAAGAGAUUAUGAUUCAAGUUCUACCAAGUGAGUGGCCUCUUAUUCAUCUGUUUGAGUCAGAUUUCUAGGGUAGGAGCGGCAGGCGCAAAGUCAAUGCUUUUUGCUCACCCUAAGAAGAUAGCAGCAAUCGAGCAUGGAUUUCUACUCUAGAGUGAACGAGAUCCAUCCCACCUCCAAUGGAAAAACUCCUAGUCUUCCUUCCGCUUGACCUAUCUAGCUUCAAUCGAGAUCACAUUGAACUAGGCAAUCAAGUUUCUACUUAACUAGCAGCCACAAAGGGCGAAGGAAAGUCGGAUGAAAGUGAUCUGAAUGGAAGUGAAGGGACCAAUGUAUCGUAUAUCAAGAUGACGACAGAAUUGAUAAGCUCAAAUGAAAACGAAAAAUGUCGUUAGAGAAGACAGCUACUUUUACGCCCCAAAAUGACCAUGCUUUACGUUGGUCAACAACCAACCACAACUCCCUAUAGUUCUUUCACCACUCGUACAGGCAGAAUAAUUUCUCUCAAUCAAGAAUGCCUCACCUAGAGAAAUGAACUUAUUUUACACAAUUCUUCUGGUUUUUCUCUUCUAAUUUGUUAGGAGUCAAAUGCAUCGAUAAACAGCUCGCCCAAUGGAGCUUUGCCUCGCGUGGACUUCUCUUCUGGCGGUCUAACAAAGCCGGUAAUCGAGCAGCUAAGACACUUUAUUACUCAAGAAGAAAGCCAGACGGAAUUCUCAAUUCCAAAAGUCGGGGGAAUCUAUUUUUCUUACAUCCGUCAUUUUCACACAAAAUCAAUCGAAUGAGAAUGAAUGGAAGCUUCAAUUUAAAGGUCAGCUGAGAGCCGGGAUGUAUAUUCUUUGAAAGCUAGGGCUUCUGGCUUUCGCAUUUCCCACAGUUAGAAGGAUUGAUUGGAAGUUAUAGCUUAUUCUGUAUCUAAGAGGUAUAAGUGAAAGCUGUACUAUCUCCUUCAGCAACUUCACCGCGGUUAAUAAGGUCAAUGUCACUUUAUACUGCACGAAGCGAACUACAGGGUUGGAUAGGUCCGUCCCUACUUUGGUCUAGGAUCACAGUCAAGGUAGCCAAAAAUCAUAGGUUCUCAUCAAUCCAGGAAAGAUUUAUUCACAAUUCCAGUGAGUAAACGGCAAGGAAGGACGUAGGCACCGUGACUCUAAACUCCAAUUGCCUAGAAUCGCCUUCUGUUAGUAGGAACGAUCUGGCAUUUCCUAAAUCCUGUUUUCACAAGUUCAAACACUAUCGCUGUAGGAUUAGAGAGCUCUUGUCUUGCAUCCUUUAGCUUAUGCUGUUGAGCAGCUGAAAGAGAGGACCCAUCUUCCGUUCAGAUAGGUAAACGUCCCUAUUAGAAGAGAUUCUUUCGAACCACACUUUGGAUCUAUAUAGCAAAGGCAGCUCUUCCAGCUUUAGUUAAUCAAUGCGGAGGUACCUUUCUUCGCUUAGUAGCACUAUUCUGGCUUUCUCUUUAGCGCAUAGCUAGUUUUAAGCUCAAACAACUACGGGGGAAUUCUCAAGCGUUGGGUGUUCCAAUCAAUCUUUGCGAGAAACCUCUGUUCUAUAUAUGUGACUCUUGAGUUGGUUGGCUACCUCUUAAGGUGGUCUUAUGCCCGCUUUCGACUUGCCUGCCGUAAACAGGAAUUGUAAGAAGAUUUGUUCAAGCGUCAGGCGCUGCAACUCUUUUUAGUCCUGUGCUCGAGCGUUAGUGAGCUGAGUGUUACAUCUCUUUAUAUACAAGGGCUCGAUGGAUUCCAUUACAGAAGCAACAGCAACUACGGAAGCAGUUAUAUUUAUUACAACAAAAAGAUUCUAUCAGUGGCCUCGAAAGUAACAACACUGAAGAAUGCAAUUGAGAGCAGAUAGUGCACCCAUACAUCCAUUAUAGAUAGAAGAAAGUGACUUAACAAAGCAUUGCUUUCUUACCGCACUUAUGGAAAAGAGAGUGCACCAACCACUUAUAGUAUAAAUUCAGAAAAACACAGAGCACUGUCAAGUGUUUAAUAUCAUAUCUGCACUGCACCCACGAGAGUAAGCGCUAGCAUAAGAGCGAAAGAAACAUCUAAGUCUGCUGAAACAAGCAAAGUCAGACCUUGUUAGGAGUUCUUUGAAGAGAAUUGAGGUGCACACGGUAUAUAGUACCUUCACUGCCUAUGAGCUUGUUUAGUCUUGCCUUCUUGUGCAUGAGGUAAGGUUUCAUCCGUAUUUGUUGGCUCCCAGGCUUAUGAUCUUUCUUAUGAUUGAUCUUCUGCUUGGGCCUUCCAUUCCUUUACUUUCUCUGGGGUAGCUGACUCAAUCUCUAUUCCCUUAUCUUCUUGUUCCGUUACGCAGAAGUUGACUUUAUUUACUUGUGUUUACUUGUGCUGUAGCUUAUUCUCAGGGCUUAUUUAUUGCUUAUUUGCCAGAAGAAUAAUAGAAUAUAAGAUAAGUCUCUUUGCUUUUUGCUUGUUUCAUAACCAAUAGGUGCGCGCCGUUAUUGAAUAGAUUAUGGACUCGUUCCCUAUAGAGUCACAUUAAAGCAGCCUAAGUGAAAGAUAAACACAGUUUUCGAAUAGAUUAUUGACCCGCUCCCUAUAGGAAGCAAUGAUAAUGAGAGAAUGACGAGGAAGCAAUGAUAAUGAGAGAAUAGAAGCUCGUUGACUUUAUUUUAUUCUAUCAUAUGCCACAAUUAAGCUGUUAGUUUACUCUCCUUAAUUAUAGGUAGGAGCACUCAAUUAUAGCUAGAAUACCUGGAAAAUCAAUCAGCAAGCGCUUGCUUUCGAACUCCAUUAGACUCACCGUACGAAACGACAAGGCAGGAAGGAGCUACUUGACUUUAGACGUAGAGCUUCUAUCGGAGAUGAACUACACUUUCAACUGUACGAAACUACAAGGAAAGCCCUUAGCAUAUACUAAAACGCAAUCCCUACCACAUAAUGGGCGUAUAUGAAGUCUGGACCACUACUUGGGGGGCGGAAGAUGGCUUCUUAUCGCUAUAAAGGGAGGCUUCCACGACCCGAGCACAGCACCCCGCCAGAACAUUAUAAGCGUAAGCGAGUUUAGGAGAGUAACUUUACCUCUCUUGACUAUAUAGUAUUGGGCGCAAGAACUCAAGCAAGCCUCAAACAGGAGCAGCUCAGGACUCUAUCCUUUUAGAUUACCCGCUUGAUGCUGACUUUCGCACUGAUUCAUAUCCAAUAGCUAUAACUUCAACUGGACAUUCUGGUGAUAAAACCAGACUUGCUUCUUUCCACACUUUAGACUCUUUUCUUUGUGAGUUGAGACAAACGGAAUUAAUAGCCUUAACGCGCUUUCAAAGCUAGUACAAACUUAGCUACUCUGAACUCCAGGAAUUGAAACUGCUUCCCUUUUGAAAGAAGAUUGAUUGAAGAUUACCCCUUUCUAUACGAGACGUUCUGCUCACCAGUACACUUGAUUCUUGCCCGGCGCGAAGAAGUAAGCUAAUGCACCGUUGGUUGCUUUAAGAAGAGAGUAUCGCGUUCCACAUAUCGAAUGUGUAGUAAAAAAACAGAACUUAAUGCGGACUCCUCCAAGGUAAGCUAACGCACAACUCAAUCGGAGAGAAAAGAUUAGAUGCAAUGCAAGGCAAGAGUUCUCAGAGAGAAAAGAUCUUCAAGCAAGUUCAAUUACUGGUUUUCCUGUUUUUCCGGGGUAGAAAUUGAUUGAUAGAUGCUAGUAGUAGUAUACGAGUUUCCUUAUCCAUCUUCUAAACAAGAUCAGUAUCAUCGGCAGGAACAGUAUCAUCGGCUAAAGCAUAAGCUGGAUCAAGUAAGUCAGUUGGAUCCGGAGUUGGAGCAGGAUCAGAUGUGGCCCUUAAGUAAUUGGUUGAAUUGAAUCCGUUCUCCUAUCUCCUAUAUAAAGAGAAAUCAUUCAUUUAGUAGGGUUCGCCCUUCCAUUUAGUAGGGACCAAGCAUAUACUAAUGUUGCACGGAGGAAGUCUGGAUACUUUGUCGGUAGAGAAGCCUUCCUAAACUCCAUAAGAAGAAGUUGAACCUGUUGAUAGCGCCUCCCAUCCCAAUAGAGAUAUUUGUUAACCUAAAACCCAUAAACCUUACUGUUUGAAUAGAAGAUUGAUGUCGGCACCCUUACUUCCUUUCGAAACCCAUGUAAUCUUCCUUGCUAGCAGCUCCAGCUUCUAAUCCAUAUAUUGAUCCAGCUUCCUCUCCUGAUGAUCCGUAUUCCCUUGCUUCAAAGCCGAUACUUGAUUCUUCAAAUUCUCUAAAUUCUAUUGAAAACAUGACCACUGGAAUUCUAUCUUACUUAUAAUAUAGGAGCACGGAUGAAACAGCCAAUCUUAAUUCCUUUAUAGGAGCGGAGGCAGAAGAUCAAGAGAGUACUUGCUUUCUUGUCUAUUAGUAGCUUGGCUCUGUUACUUGUCUGCUUUCCGGAUAGCUUUCAUUGCAUCCCUUGCCCACCUCGUCAUGAGCAAGUAAAGUUUCUAGCCCAGUUCUUGUUCGAGUGGAAUCCUAAAAGAAUUAUAUGCACUUCUCUAAUAGUAUAUUGUUUGAUCAGAUGCAACAGCUAUACUUUGCAGGUAGUGAGUGACUUCACACUGUCGGAAUCACCAUAGCCCAAUGAUAAAAAAGAGAGAUUUGAGUGCCCUUGAUGCUAUACUUACACAGUAUAAGAAACCAAUCGAAAUUCAUUAUUAUAUUAUAUAUUCUAUUAUAGGAGACUAUCAGAUUGUAUUAUAGGAGACUCUAAGAUUUCCCCUCUAGGUCUUGAAACUCCCUUCCCUUAUGCUGAAGUAAAAGAAUGAACUGGCACUGCGGAUUCUUGAGUAGCAAACACCAAACACUGAUUCCACUCGUACACUUAGGUCUUAAAAGCCGGAUCCAGAUCUAGCUUCUGCAAAUCUCCUCGCCAACAACAAGAGACUUUAGGGAGGUUAGAGUUCUUGUGUUAAGCAAUGAGGUUAAUGUCAAUUGUCAGCUGUCCCCUGGUAGAUCCAUAAUGCUUAGCUCCAUCCUAUUAUUCUAAAGUACACUUUCCUAGCUGUCAACGCGACCCGACCUAUACAUGAAGGGCACUCCUUCACCACCCGGAUACAAAGAUGAAAUAGAUGUAGAUUCCCGCUUCUGCGCUAAGGGAGUUUAUAGGUUUAGGUACAUAUAUAAGAUCUAGUAAGAUAAAGGAUAUAUUAAGAAAACAAUUCCAUAAGGGUAUUCCCUUAGCUUGUCGGCUUGGCUCAUUGGACUUUUUCUUGCUUUGGUGAUUUGAUUCCAAAUCGGUUCACGGGACCUUAGUGUUUUCAUCAUUGAAUCUAGCUACCCUUGCGAGAGCAGUUAGGGACUUCCUUCUAUCAUACCUAGAGCGAGAGCAGAGCCAGCAGUCAGCGCAAGUCCUGUUUUCUUGAAUCAAAGAAUAGCUCUCAUACUGGGGGAGUUAUCUACUGAUUCUUUCCCUUAACUGAACUUUCCUAGGGCAGCUAACAGACUUGAAACGGAAUACUUUACUUCGAGGCAUAAAGAGAUAUUCCACCUAGUUAUAAACGGACAAGCUACUCCUUUUGGAUCAAAUGAAGGAGCUGUGGGAAUUAGCCUUAACCUCUCACAUGUAGCUGGCAAUGAUUCACUUCCAAUAGCAAUAGAGUUCGGGUCGAUAACACACCUAAGGUAUUUCAUUGUUUAUUUCAUUUGAUAAUUGUUCCAAACUAUGACUAGUGGUAUUAAUCAAAUCAGGGUUUCUUGUUCGAUUACUGAGUAUCCAUUCAUUCGAUACUCAUCUGCUUCCAUUUCACUUUACGUAAGCGAGCCCGGGCUCCUCUCCUAUCCUUCCUUCCUUCCUUCGAGCUGCUCAAAGGCCCCUUUACUAUAUUCUUCUGAAUUGAGAAUAGUACUCCAAAUCCAAUCCUUUCUUUUUGUUAAUGAAUAUACAUUAGGCAUUUCAUUAGAGUCUAUUAGAUUACCAUUCAUUUCAAAACUCACAGGAUAUCUUCCCGAACCAAACAAGAAUCUGGCCAUGAAUUUGGCUUUCACGCUCCAUUAUUGAUUGGAUUUAUGGUAUUGGUAUUCCCUGAAUCCAUCUUUUUUCAUGUGAUGAGCCUACCCUCUCCUUUCUGUUUGUAUUCAAAGAUGUAAAAACGGAUGAUACAAAACCAGAAUAUCAGGAGGACUCGACCAGACAAUAAUAUACGAAUUGUAAGCAAAGUGGAUUUACCUAUAAGUCACGAAAUGCUAUGGUUCCUGACAUAUGAGAUUCUUAUUCUAUUUAGAAAGAAGUAAUUCAUCGAGAUCGUGCACCUUUGACUAUACUACUACUAAAAAGGAGAGGAGCAUCAAGUUUUCCUAUACAACUACUAUACUUUGACUAUACUACUACACUACUAUACUAUAAGGAGCAUAAAUCUACUAUACUAUAAGGAGCAUAAAGAAAGUGCAGCUGGAUGGAUCCAACCUAUUCUUGAAAUACACAACUCGCACACACUCCCUUUCCAAAAUAAAUCAAUACACCAAGCAAAGCACUAAACUCAGAUUGAAUCAAUACACAAAGCAAGCACUACACUUAUUGGAUUUUUGGCUAAAGGUAGAAAACCCGAAACUCCCAGCGGAUGGCCAGUGACCCAAGGAAACGAAAGAAUCCAAAAUGUCCAUUUAUCAUAUGCAACCCUACCUAUAUAUAUGAUUAUGGAUUAGAUUAGAUCUCAUAUCAAUGUUUUUCUAUUGUACGUCGCUAAGGAAAGGACAGAAAGGAAGAAAGCAAGCGAAUCUGUCUGGUAAUUCCUCAUCCUCAAUUCCGCCCUGCCUGGCGUAUUGUCUCAACAAAUAAAUAAGUCAUUAUAAGUCAAGCAAGCAAGUGUUAAUAUAAAUAGAAUAAGCUAAGCAGCAAAGGGAAAUUCCAAGUUCAAGUUAAUCAAAUCUGAAAGUAUGUAAGGUAUAUAUUUGAAGAAAGAAAGUCUUGUAAGGUACCUUUUUUCCAUUUAUUGGACUUAUCAGGAUGAAACCAAAGGAUUCGCAAAUAAAAGCGCUAACGCCACGACCAGUCCGUAAAUUGUUAAAGCUUACUGCCAUAAAAGCUAGACUAAGCAAUAAAGUACCUAGUAUUUGCCCCUCUGCUUCUGGUUGUCUCACAAUACCUUCUGCAGCUUGGCCUGCCAGCAGUACCUUGGCCAACUCCAGGUCCAAUAGAAAGAAGGCAAGCCAGCCCCACGCACGGCCACCAAUACAGCAGCAAUAACUGAAGCAGCGGAAAGCAGUGGAUUCAUGGGAAGUUCCUCGCACAAAAUCACAGAAAUGGUUAAUGAUCCAAUAAACCAAUGAAUUAUGACUCAUUUCUCAUUAAGAUCCAGCGCUACGGUCCGAAGUCACUAAUAACUCAGAUAUUCGAUUCUUAGAUUCCAUUAUGAUAUAUAUUCUAUUAUAUUACUCCAUCUAUGAUAUAUAUUCCAUUCUAUUACUCCAUCUAUGAUAUAUAUUCCAUUCUAUUACUCAUUCUAUUAUAUUACUCCAUCUAUAUAUUCUCUUAUAUUACUAUAUAUAUUACGGAAAUAAUCAUCGAUUUAGAUUACUUUCAUCUAUUUAGAUUACUGAACUGAAUCGUCACAACUAUCUCUUACCCAUAAUGGAGUUCUUGCUUGUAAAUCCAUAUGCAUACAGUUCUUUCUAGCCUAGCUAUUGUAUCUCUUUGUUUCGAACCAUUCUAUCAUUCCUAAGUCUUUACUACACUAUUAUUGAUGAAGCCUAGCUAUUGUAUUUCUUUGUUUCGAACCAUGAUCUCACUUUGCGCAGAACUUGAUGAUUACCUUAACCCUGCUUUCCAGUCCUCUCUCGCAGACACUGACACAAUCAAUCCCCCGUAAACGCCUUAGAAUCUAUCUCUUUGAAAUAGAUAAUAGGAAUUAAGCCCAAUGAGCUUAAUCUUUCUUUCGAGCACAAGGUAUAGAGUGGAUUGAGUAAAGACAUAGCUUCCCUUCAUGAAACAACUUUACCGGAACCCAAGUAAACAAAUCAUGAAUUUCUUCGUUCGAACGCAGAAGCAUAGAUUCCACUCACCAAGUCACUACUAUACAAGUAACAGCUAUACGACUCUCAAUCAGGUGUUCCAGCCUAUAAUUCCAGUGUUCCAGCCUAGAACUUCAAAGAUGGUGUUAUUGAUGACAGAGGGUUAUUCUCAUGGAGGGCCUUGUUUGCCUCUCCUGAGUUGUGGUAUAUAAGUGAGUCAAUACCCCUAAACCCUGACUUGUUAAGGAUAAGGUGCGGAAAGCCUCUCCAGUGACAUCUUUUUCUAUACUAGGGCUCGAAACAAAUCAGAUCAUUCUUAAACGGAAACUUGGACUUCAUCAACUCUACUUUCAACAAAUCACUCCGUUAGCGGUCAACCACAUAAAGGGAAAGCCAAUCACCGAACCUAUACUUAAAGGACAAAGGCGGAGGACUAACUAAAGGCGGAGGACUAACUAAAGACAGAGGAAUAGGCAUACAUAGGGUGAAGCGAAAGAAAAGUCACCGACCACUUGAAGAACGAAUAGGCGCACAACUCUACUCAAAAGAAGGAAUUUCAUCGAAACUGGAAGAGCAGUACUUGCUUGCUCACUUUAUACUUUACUGAGAGCAGAAAGAAAAUGGAAUAGAGGCAUCCAGUGUUGGGAGUUUUGGCCAUUGCUUUUUAUCUACACUUUCCAGUCUGAAUUGAAAGCAUAUUGUAUAGAAGCUAGUAGAAACACACUGCCCUCACUAUAAGGAAGAGAAUGGAAUGAAUCUCUGGAAUAUCUCUCUUAUUGAGCACUAGGUAUAGAAGCUUGUAUAACAACUCCUUCCCUUUGAUUUCGCUUGUCAAAAAACUCCUGCCCCGCGAUUUGAGCCUGGAAAGUAAGCUACGAACACAUAGCUCGCCUUCCCUUCCCUUUUCGCCUAGAAAGUAAGCUAACACAUUAACCCCUUCCCUUGAGACUUUACCUCACCAAUUGAGAAUUCUGUCUGAUCUUAUUUCUACGAUGAAACGGAAACUGGGCAUUCGUGUCGAUAUGAUUCAAGUUGAACGAACUGAGAUUGAUGAACCGAGCAACACAGUAAACUAUCCUUUUAGCCACUGAUGUACUAGUUCUUGCCCGAACUCCCUUAACAGAGACAGACCUGAGCCCUUAUUUAUUUCCUGCUGACAAGCGAACUACUUACUUAUUUUCUACUGAACAAGCAACUCCAGAUCAACUCCCUUAUCUUCAUCUUAUUGCUUCGCCCGGAAAGUAGGCAAGGCACAUAUACCCCCAGAAACUCCAAUAAGUGUUAGCGCAAGGGAACAAGUCAAACAAACAGAUUGAAUUCCGUUAGUGGAACACUCUAAGAUGAAUUUCAGAAUUUCAAUAUGGAGCCGCAUGCUUUAUAACUAAGUAAGGAAUGUAACUCGAAAGAUGAAGUGAAAGCGAGGUAGAAAGGUGAAGGUUGGUGCAAGUCAGAGGUCAGCUUAGUAAUGUCCUGUUAAAGGUUAAGGUGCGUGCAAGUCAGAGGUCAGCUUAGUAAUGUCCUGUUCCAGUUUCAUCGUAUAAGUAAGCCGAAUGCGAAUCCGCUGAAGCUAGUACUUACUUUGAAGCCAUAAGUCAAGAAUAAGAAUAUUUGACUGUUUCGAGGUGAAGAAUAGAGAUCCGCUCUGGAAGUUGAAGAAUGCCCACGCCACGUUCUUUUUAUUAGGCUGCAAUGUAGUAGAAAGCUUUUAUAGGUAUUCAAUGAGUAAUCAGCUAUCAUAUGAGUUUACCCAUGGUUAAACGAGUCAAAAGAUUGAUGUUGAUAAGCCUCACCUUAACCAAAGAAGGGUUUAUAAGCCUUACCUGAACCAAAGAAAGAAGGGUUUAUAAGCCUUACCUUAACUUUCAUGCUGGGCUUGCUUGCUCCAAAUUACCUAACACGGCUUACUCUCGGGGAACAAGUAACCAGUUGCAAUGACUAACGCGAGAAUAAGAUAAUACGGGUAUAUUGUAUAUCCAAAAAGUAAUUGGAGAUCUAUGAUGAAAUUCCUUGUUUGACUUUACUCGGGCAAGACUAUGGUGGAAAGUGUUGUGUGAUGGAAUACGGUGGAAAGUUAGGUUCGAGGUUCGGAGUAUAGAGAAGCUCUUGGGGUGCGAGUUCAGGCUAAAGUCAGAUCAUAUGCAAGCAACGAAACGAGAAGGAAAUCCAAGGGGAGUUUCGCUACUCCGGAUACUAAGAACAUGGGUCUUGUCUUACACGCAAAAAGCAAAAGUAGGUGUUUCAUCCUCUUCGGUGCUAACGUUUUGGAGUUAUACAACUUUCCGGGGAAGCUAUGUAGCGAAGUCAAGGUUCGGUGCUAACGUUUCGGAGUGGAGUGAGGUGUUGUUACUUAAGUAUAUGAUGUGCGCACUCACAUUCGCUUACUUCUUCUAAGGAAGCACUAAUGCUUUGUGAAGUUUCACUCUAGUAUAUAUUAUGUAGCGCACUAGCAUUCAUUCUGUUCUUUAUGUGGUGCACUAGCAUUCAUUCUGUUCUUUAUUUGUUGUUUCUUCUUGUAGCUGUCUGUCUGAGGUAAGUAUCUGCUUUGGGUAGGUAUCUUCCCGAGUCAGUAGUACCUUUCCUCUACGUUAUGUGAGUCUAUUCGUAUUAGGAGAAUGUCUGAGGUAAGGUGGUGCCCCUUUACCGAGUGUGCUCUUUCUUUCUUUCUGCUGUUGUUAUGCAGGUUGGUUCAUUUGUUGAGCAGUAUGAGGGAAGUCUAUCGUUGGGGGAGGUCUCUUCCCGAGUCAUUGAAUUGUCAAAUGAAUGUCUGAGGUGAAAGGGGUGUAUGGUGCUACUUUACCGAGUGUAAUAAUCUUCUCUAAGGUAUCUGCUUUGCUUUAAGCUCAUAGGCAUGCUAAAGGUUUCUUCUUUGCGAGUAAAGUUUCUUCUUAUCAUGGUCCAGGUUCUGCUAAGCAUGGUCAGGUUCUGCUAAGGUGGGGUUCCGCUCUUAAUGUGGGUUGAAGCAACUAUGUCACUUUAUGCGGAUUGAAGUAUGUAUCCGCCCUAAUCCUGUCAUAGGCGGAGUCCCACUCUAUCAGUACAUUAUCUACAUCAAAGUGAUUUUCCUGAGUUGCGCCAGAGGAACUUCUUAAAUGAAAAGAAAAUAAGAGAAUCUGAAAUGAAAAGAAAAUAAGAACAGGCUGCUUUUAAGCGAGGUAUCCUUCAGUAGAGUUUAGAUAAUCUGUAGUGGGCGAGUCAGCAACAAGUGAGAAAGGUGGAGUAUCAUCAAGAUCAAAGGGGUAUUGUAUAGAACCAAGUCAUUAUUGAGUAAGAGGUGUGGGUUGGGGUUCUUCAGUAGUUUAGUUUCCGUUAAGUAUAAGUAAGCGAGGCGAAAGGCAGGAAUCCAAUAUGGAGUUGGAAGCUUAAGCAUGAAAUUCCGUAUUGCUAGGCCUAACAAGAAGCCGAUCUGAUUCCAAAGAAAGGGAAGGCUUUCAGCACCUGUAGUUUCCAUUCAUGAUUUGACUUGUGCCUUAGGAAAGGGAGUUUCAAUUCCUAUUAGUGGAUAGGGGGGUGAGAUGGAUUCUUUUGUUGUUGGUUCUUCAAUAAAGUAUUGUUUGGGGAAUAAGAGAAGCCUUACUGGUGCACGGAACUCUCAAGUGUUUGAUUGGCUUGACCUUGUUUGUAGUGAGUCGGUUCCAGUGAUGGGCGGACAAAAAGGAUGGGUUUACGGAACGAUAAGGGAAGCAGGUCGACUGAGUUUACGGAACGAUAAGGGAAGCAGGUCGAAUAGAAAUAAGUCUUAAAGAACUCAACUCGAAGGAAAGAAAGAGUAUUUGAUAGCCCCCACCAAGUAAGAGUAAGAUAGAUUGGAGUAAACCGAACACGGAGCAUACACUUUAUUAUGAAUUUGACCUAACUGCAUCCCUAACUAAAAUAAGUGUUAGCGCAGAGGAAAACAAAGAAAAAGAAUCUCUAUCUACCGACUUAGAGCCAAUAACAGAAACUUUCUGUGAAGAACUACUUACAGUACUUGCAGCUUUCGACUUGGAUUCCAGAGUGGACUUGAGUCUUUGGGCGACGAAAGAAAAGAGUUAGGGAAUACGCAGUGCCAGUUCAUUCGGUUUCUGUUAGAGUUUACGACUUCACUUAAUAUUGAAGAUGAUCUACGUCGGCAAAGGGACAAGUCACGUAUAUUGUUAGAUCCGAUUUCCAAGAAGGGGAAGCCCUGUCUUUACUGAGUUCUAUACUAUGUGCACUUCCAUUAAUGGCGCAAGAAAGCAAACGGAUUGAACUCCUUCCUAAAGUUUCACAGGAGCAAGAAAUCAAGAGAGUUUGAACGCUAAGCAAGAGGGAGUUAAGUCAGCUGUUGUUUUCCUCGGUUCCGCAAGUGUUGUUUAGGUCAGACAAGACUAAGUGGCGCACUAUAAUCAAUGGAGCUCAUCAAUUCUGUAAUUCCAUUCAAAAGGUGAACUGUCAGGUUAUCACUUUUGAUACUAACCCCCAAUAAACAAUACUUUCCGCUUGCUGCUGGGCGCUAAGGAACACAAGACCAUAAUCUCGUCCAAUUAUAUAAGGAAGGGCAAUCCUUCUUUUUUUGAGAAAAGUGUAAGGCAGGGGAAACCUCAAUUGUUGGAAAUCACCUAUCUCACCUAUCUCACCUACCCCGCCCAGUAAAGAGAGUUGGUUGGGACAGGCAAUACUUAACGCUUCAGCAAAGUCAACAAAGAAUUCCAAUAAUGAAGCUUUAUCCUUCCUUUAUAUCAAAUACUUGAUCCUUCCUUUAUAUCUAAUAUUUAAAGACUUGAUCCUUCCUUUAUAUCUAAUAUGGGAAUUUCCACUACUACCUUUACGCCAACUCCCUUUCAGCUUGCAUGAUACCCUGGCUUUCCUUUCGCCCUUGAGAGACUAGAUCGACUUGACUUUCGAUCCCUUCUCUACGUAACCUAACGCUUAAAACAGUACUUUCAUAUCUUUCUUCUUUCUAGUGCAUAGUCAAACUUAUCUGAAGUAAAGAAUCUGACCUGUAUCUAUACGAUCCAUCAACUGUGACUUAAUUGAUCCCUGCGCUCCGUUCCUAGGAAUCUUCUGGAGUUUUGUUUCCUCUGCAUUCCUGUUUGAGGUAAAGGUGAGAGGUGCGCCUUAGGUAUUCCCGGUGUGCUAGCCCUAGCCUAGGUAUUCCCAGUGUGCUAGCGCUAGGUAUUCUCUGUGUGCUAGUGGGUCUCCCUGUCUGAGGUAAGUCUAUCUUUUCCGUAGUGAAGUUCCCGAGUCGUAGGUUAGCACAUACUGUCUGAGGUCAAAAGGGUCAGGGUACCGUUUCCCGAGUCAAGUGUUUCUCUUCCUCUUGCAGCUUUCUCUCUUUCUUCUGUUGUUCCGUAUACUAUCUAUUCUCUUAGUUCUUCUCCCGUAUGUAUCAAAUCUCUACUCCUUUCUUCGCACUACUGGAUUAUUGAGUUCCCGAAAACAUGAAAUAAAGUAUGCUUUGGCGCUAGGAAAGAAUCCGGAAUGUAAUUGUUGUGAAUUGAUCUAUAAUUACCUGUUUCUGUACAAUAAACUACUCCCUUUGCUUUUGCCUAACAAUACUUUCAGACUCAUACCUUUCCUUUACGGAAACUAGAGACAACACUCGAACAG